UUAUGUGAAUGAGUGGUAGACUAAUAGUAGCACUGAGGCUAAACAAUAAAUAUAGUGCACUGCUGCAUUGCAGCGAUAAAACCAACUCCUAGCAGGUUAAAUAUCAUGCCUUGACAAGCCAGCCACCUAAUCACAAGUCAUGAACGAAAACACCUAGCACUAGCAGGUUACGAACCAAGUAAAUAUCAUGCCUUGCCAAGCCAGCCACCUAAUCACAAGUCAUGGAACACAAACUCCUAGCAGGUUGAUUAUCAUGUCACCACAAUAUUCAUCAUGAUAUACUACUUAGGUUCGCAAAACCAGCAGGUCCUCCAUCAGCCAAGAUCAUCUAUGAACCGUAUUUCUAGCAGCGGUCGAUGACAACAUGCCACAGUGUGCUCUUGACGACUUUGAAGGUGCAGAUGUCUCCUGCCUUGAGCUCGUUCUCCUUACAGAAGGCCUUCCAGCCUCUCGUAAGACACCUUCCACCUCCCAAGACUUGUUCCUCUCCACGGACUUGAGCGUGAUCUUGCAACGCUCCAGGAAUCCGAAGCGCGCUGGAAAAUGCUGCAAGCCAUUGCGAUCGCACGGGUUAUUUGUAUCACAGUUCGUGGGUGUAUGAUGACAAAUAUUAUGCACCGAGUUGAUAAUAAACUGGCAUGUCAAGUAGUUUGAUUGGUUGGUUGGUUCCCUUAUUUCCAAAAGGUGCACUCUUAUUUCUUACUCUCUUUUUCAAAUAAUGAUUGUACUUACAAGAUAUCUUUUAAGCGCGAGUUCGUUGAUCUCCUUCCUUAACCAAGCCUGCGACCCCAUCGACCCAAGCUCACAGAGAGCCUUCUUUCGGUGUUGUGAAGUUGUGGAUCCGUCUAGCAUGCUUUUGACUUCGCUUUGUUUCCUUUUCCGGGUGCAAACAUGUUCUUCCUCUUGGCUUUGUGCUCCAGGUGCUAAGAGGACAAUGGUAGUAAUCAAUUUAAUCUAUUACCAAGACAUAUAGUUUUUCAGAAAAAGUUGAGGCUUGUUUCAUACUUUUGCCAUUGCUUUGUUUCCUUUUCUGAGUGGACACAGGUUCUUCUUCUUGGCUUGUGCUCCAGGUGCUAAGAGGACAAUGGUAGUAAUCAAUUUAAUAUAUUACCAAGAUAUAGUUGUUCAGAAAAGAUGAGGCUUGUUUCAUACUUUUGCCAUUGCUUUGUUUCCAUGUCCGAGUGGAAACAUGCAUGUUCUUCCUAGUUUUUCAGAAAAGUUGAAGCUUGUUUCAUGCUGGAAUUUUGUCUAUUUUGGGCCAGCCCAAUAGCAGUUUCAGAAAUUUCUAAUAAAUUCUAGAGGUCCACGCAGCCCAUUCGUGCAAGGCAAGAGGUGGAACUAAAGUUUAGUCCCACAUUGCUAGUUUAGAGGGAGUUGGACCUCUUUAUAAGGGAGGUUCUUUCCCCACAUGUAUGAGCAUGAGAACAAGAGGGACAUUCAUGCGCGCUCCUCCUCCGCCGCCCGCCGCGCCGCUGGUUGCGGGAAUGAGCCGAUGUCUAAAUUUUUGCCAUGCACUAUGGGUAUACGGAAGCUGAAAAGAUUUUUACGAUAGUGGAGUUUGAAUGCGAACGGUACAGCCCUUCGGCUGCUGGCUGUUCGCUUCAUCUCCGUCUCUUCGUUUCGCCUCCCGUCGCUGCCCUCUCGCCUCCUUCUCUUGCGCCUAUAAAAGGGAGGUCGCUCCUCUCAGAGAGACGCACCAGAACUACUUUCUCCUCUCGCCACCGGUUCUUGAACACUGCGCUGCUGCUAUGAUCUUCCUCAUCCUGGCUUGCGGCGUGCACCGCAGGUCGGGACAGUAGGCCUUUGAAACCGCACCUCUUUGAGUCCUGUACGGGAGAAAGGUGAUAAGGUUUUUGGGGAGCACUUUGCGUGACUACUGACUUCUUCGUCACGGAUGCCCCAGACUCAGAUGACUGCUUCCCCAAUGACGACGUCGACAACCUCUUCGACGACAUGGCCACCGAGGAUGUCGACCCCAAGUCCAGUGCCUCUGCUUCUGCUUUGUCCCGUACGUGUUUUUGUUUUUCCUGUUAGAGGUCCUGUCACAGUUCCUUGUUCUAGUGUUUGCCCUAGACAUGUUAGGCUCUACUUCAUUUAUGCAUCUUGAUCUACUGUCUGCUCUAGAGAUGAUCGGUUCUAGCUCCUAUAUGCAGAUGUUAUUUACCUUCUCUUUGUCAAAUCGCAUGGUUUGUUUUAUCACUGCUAUACUAGUCAUGCUUUAUCUAGUAUUUCUGUUAAUAAAAUCAUUCGGUAAAUCUCUCAUAUUUCCAACAUUUCGUACUUAUGCCAUUGCUUUGUGUCCUUCUCUGAGUGGAAACAUGUUCUUCCUCUUGGCAUUGUGCUGCAGGUGCUAAGAGGACAAUGGUAGUGAUCAAUUAAAUCUAUUACCAAGAUAUAUUUUUCAGAAAAAAUUGUUUACUCACAUUACUCGCUUUGCUGAGAUGAGCUUAUUUUUUUCCUCGGUGUGCUCAUUAUUCCCAUUUUGGAAGGUCUCGAAUGAGAAGUUCAUGCACCCCUGAUACUUGAUCAACAGGACAUCGGUUUCAGCAAUUUUAAUGUAGGCCAGAAACUUUAGCCAUUCGGAACCAGUGAAGAAGACAUUCGGGCCAUCCUUCUUGAGCUCGAUAUGCCAGGAUUUUAAAAAAGUGGCUAUUGGUCUCGGUCUGUUCAGGUCUUCUUUCAAGAUGUAUCCUCGUUGCAGAAACUCGGGAGGAAUAGGCUACGAGGACAGGUGAAACAGCAUAAUGGAGUGAAUAUAUUCAACAUCUUAAAGAUGGUGCACUUAAGGACUUGGUUCUGAACAUUUAAACAAGAAAAGUAAGCAAACCAUCUUUUUCAUGAAACUUCUGUGAAGUGGCACAAUGAACUGUGGCUUACGAGCAAAGGCGUUCUCAAUCUCAGCUGGGCUCAAAACUAAACAUGAACAAGAGUGAAUUAGCUAUGAAUUUUUAGGCCGAAAGUACGAGUAACUGUGAAAGUCCAAACACACCAGUGAUUGUUAGGCCGAACUCUUUAAUGACAAAGCUGGCGUUGAAUGCCUUUAGAGUGAGCACGCCGCAUCCUUCAUGCACUAGUAGAAAACAGGGCUUUCGUUCGGGCUAGUUAAGCCCAUUAGUCCCGGUUCAGUCACAAACCGGGACCCAUGGGCCCAUUGAUCCCGGUUCGUGAGGCCAGGGGGUCUGCCGGGCCUCGUGGAGGCAUUGGUCCUGGUUCGUCUGGCCCCUUUGGUCUCGGUUGUUGGGACGAACCGGGACCAAUGGGCCUCGCUCCUGGCCCACCACCAUUGGUCCCGGUUGGUGGCCUGAGCCGGGACCAAAGGGUGGUCUUUAGUACCUGGUCAAGCCACGAACCGGGACCAGUGAACUAGCCAGGGGAGAGGGCUUUUGUGUGUAAAACAUUAAAAGCAAAAAGAAUUUUCAUAAAAUAAAUAAAAAAGCAAAAAAGAAAAUAAAAUAAAUAAGUAGAAACAAAAUAAAAUAGAUAAGUAGAAACAGAAAAAACUUUAAUAAAUAAGUACAAACAAAAUAAAUUUAAUAUAGUAAAAUAAAUAAACUAUAAUAAAAUAAAUAAAAAUAGCAACAGUAAGUAGAAACAAAAUAAAACAAAUAAAGCAAAAAAGAAAGAAUUUUCAUAAAAUAAAUAAAAAAGCAAAAAAGAAAAGAAAAUAAAUAAGUAGAAACAAAAUAAACUUUAAAAAAGUAAAAAAAAUUAUAAAACCUAUAGUAUUAUUGAAACUAAAAUUUAUGCAACUAAAAUUAUCAACGUAUUUUCUGUUCAAAACAUUAAAAGAAAAAAGAAUUUUCAUAAAGAAAUUUUUUGUUAGAAAACUUUAAUAGCAAAAAGAAUUAUCAUAAAGAAUUUUUUGUUAGAAACUAAAAUAACAAAAUAUGUUUUUGCAUAUAAUGAUAAAACACAGUAAUAUUAAAUAGCAGGAAAAAGAAUCACUCAAAAAUCUAAGUUUAUAGUAAAGUUAUUCAAAAACUAGUGAUUCACACAAAUUUCAAAAAAUUCAAAUUUAAACUAUUCAAAUUGGAAAACAAAUUGCACUAACAGAAAGUUUAUAAUUUUUAUUACCUAAAAGAAAAAGGAACUAAAAAAUAAAGCAAAAAACAAAAUAAAAUAAAUAAUGCAAAAACAGAAGAAAAAAACUGGGAAAAAUUAAAAAAAAUGCCACCUACUAGGCCACUACGACGUGAAUACGACUAUAAACCCUACGAUGGGCCAAGAUUCAGGCCCGCAGAAGGCCCAAUAGGGCCAAGAGGCAUAGCAGUGAUAAUUAGGCCCGUAAGCCUGCAAUCGAGAGGAGCUCGAGAGGGGUGCGGCAGUGGGGCUUAUAAACCACUCCGCGCCCCUCUCAACUAGCAAGGUGGGACUAAAGUUUUGGCCACAGGCAGCACGAGGUUUGGUCCUGGUUCGUGGCCCCAACCGGGACUAAAGGUGGGCAUUGGUACCGGUUCAUGGGACCAACCAGGACCAAUGCCCCCCUUUAGUCCCAGUUGGUGCCACCAACCGGGACCAAAGACCUCUGCUUCCCGCCCUUUGGGCUGCUGAAAAGAGACCUUUGGUCCCGGUUGGUGGCACCAACCGGGACUAAAGGGUGGCAUUGGUCCCGGUUGUUGUCACUAACCGGGAUUAAAGGCUUUGGUAUAUAAGCAAACACUUGUGAAAAUUUNNNNNNNNNNNNNNNNNNNNNNNNNNNNNNNNNNNNNNNNNNNNNNNNNNNNNNNNNNNNNNNNNNNNNNNNNNNNNNNNNNNNNNNNNNNNNNNNNNNNNNNNNNNNNNNNNNNNNNNNNNNNNNNNNNNNNNNNNNNNNNNNNNNNNNNNNNNNNNNNNNNNNNNNNNNNNNNNNNNNNNNNNNNNNNNNNNNNNNNNNNNNNNNNNNNNNNNNNNNNNNNNNNNNNNNNNNNNNNNNNNGCCUCUCCGAGCAAUGCCCCGACGCCCUAGCCGGCCCGCGGUCGCCCUCGUCGUCGCUGCCCGCUCCUCGUCGCCGCCGCCCCGGCCCAUGCCCCUGCCCUGACGCGCCGCCCCUGCCCUGACGCCGCCCCACGCCCCUGGCCUGCCCCGACCACACGCCACCGCCAUGUUCGGUCCGGCCGGUGCUACAUCUUGAGCUUGCGUUGGUUUUCCUUGAAGAGAAAAGGGUGAUGCAGCAAUAGUAGCGUAAGUAUUUCCCUCAGUUUUUGAGAACCAAGGUAUCAAUCCAGUAGGAGGCUCCUCAAAAUUCCCACGCACCUACACAAACAGACAAAGAACUCGCAACCAACGCAAUAAAGGGGUUGUCAAUCCCUUCAGGGCCACUUGCGAAAGUGAGAUCUAAUAGAGAUAGUAUGAGAAGAUAAAUAUAUUUUUGGUAUUUUAUAAUAUAGAUGCAAAAAGUAAAGAUGCAAAUUAAAGUAGAUUGGAAGCAAAUAUGAUAAGAGAUAGACCCAGGGGUCAUAGGUUUCACUAGUGGCUUCUCUCAAGAUAGCAUAAGUAUUACGGUGGGUGAACAAAUUACUGUCGAGCAAUUGAUAGAAAAGCGAAUAAUUAUGAGAUUAUCUAGGCAUGAUCAUGUAUAUAGGCCUCACGUCCGUGACAAGUAGACCGACUCCUGCCUGCAUCUACUACUAUUACUCCACACAUCGACCGACUCCUGCCUGCAUCUAGAGUAUUAUGUUCAUAAGAACAAAGUAACGCUUUAAGCAAGAUGACAUGAUGUAGAGGGAUAAACUCAUGCAAUAUGAUAUAAACCCCAUCUUUUUAUCCUUGAUGGCAACAAUACAAUACGUGCCUUGCAACUCUUUAUGUCACUGGGUAAGGACACCACAAGAUUGAACCCAAAGCUAAGCACUUCUCCCAUGGCAAGAAAGAUCAAUCUAGUAGGCCAAACCAAACUGAUAAUUCGAAGAGAUUUGCAAAGAUAACUCAAUCAUACAUAAAAGAAUUCAGAGAAGAUUCAAAUAUUAUUCAUAGAUAAACUUGAUCAUAAACCCACAAUUCAUCGGAUCUCGACAAACACACCGCAAAAAGAGUUUACAUCGAAUAGAUCUCCACGAGAGAGGGGGAGAACAUUGUAUUGAGAUCCAAAAAGAGAGAAGAAGCCAUCUAGCUAAUAACUAUGGACCCGAAGGUCUGUGGUAAACUACUCACAACUCAACGGAGGGGCUAUGAUGUUGAUGUAGAAGCCCUCCGUGGUCGAUUCCCCCUCCGGCGGAGCGCCGGCGAAGGCUCCAAGAUGGGAUCUCGCGGAUACAGAAGGUUACGGCGGUGGAAAUUGUGUUCCGUUGGCUCCAUGGAUGUUUUCGGGGUACGUAGGCUUAUAUAGGAGGAAGAAGUACGUCGGUGGCCGCCCGAGGGGCCCACGAGACAGGGGGCGCGCCCUAUAGGGUGGGCGCCCUACCCUCUCGUGGCCGCCUCGGCUGCGUCUUGACUUGCACUCCAAGUCCUCUGAAUCACGUUCGUUCCAAAAAUCAUGCUCCCGAAGGUUUCAUUCCGUUUGGACUCCGUUUGGUAUUCCUUUUCUUCAAAAUACUGAAAUAGGCAAAAAAAACAGCAAUACAGGCUGGGCCUCCGGUGAGUAGGUUAGUCCCAAAAAUGAUAUAAAUGUGUAAAAUAAAGCCGAUAAACAUCCAAAAGGGGUAAUAUAAUAGCAUGGAACAAUCAAAAAUUAUAGAUACGUUGGAGACGUAUCAGCCGGCUUCCUCUCUGGGUUUUUUUUCAGAUUUUUUGUUAAUAUAUAUGACAAUUUGUUUUUUGCAUUUUUAUAAAAAUGUAUAUAUAUGUAUGUAUGUUCUCUGUCUAUACAUGUUCGUAUAUGCAAAAGUUAGAUUUUUAGAAAAGUUUUAUCUAUGUAUGUUCUCUGAUUUAGCGCAUUUUAGGUUAGUUUCAUUUUUAGAAAAGUUUUAUAUAUUUAGGAAGAAGGAAGAGAAGGAAGAAGGAAGAAGAAGAAAAAGUUUCAUAUAUGGAAAAUUUACAUUUUUAGAAGAAAAUUGUAUAUCUAGCUAGGAAGAAGGAAGAAGGAAGAACAAGAAGAAAAACUUUUAUAUAUGCAAAAGUUACAUUUUAGAAAAGUUUUAUCUAGGAAGAAGGAAGAAGGAAGAAGAAGAAAAAGAAGGAGAAGAAAAAGGAAAAUAAUAAGAAGAGGAAGAAGGAGAAGAAGACGGAGAAGAAGAGGAGAGGAAGAAGAGGAUAAAAAAAUAAGAAUAGGAAAAAAAGAGGAGAAGAAAAAAGGAAUAGAAGAGAAAAAGAAAAAAUAGAGUAAUUUCUAUUUAUUUUCUUCACCUCUAUUCCUUUCUUCUUCUCCACUUUUUUUUCUUUAUCGGGUAUGUCGUUGUCGAUAUACCACCUUCCCAAUAACUUUGACAUGAGGGGGGGGUCAAUAUACCCCCUCCCCAAUAACUUCGACAUGAGGAGGAAUAGGGGUCGAGGGGUCGAGGGUUAGAGGGUCGUCGAGGGUUCGAGGGUUCGAGGGUUCGAGGGUUCUAGGGUUCUAGGGUCGAGGGUUCUAGGAAAAUGCAAAAUUUAGAAGUUUAAAUGUUCAUAGAAUUUUUUUGGUGAUAUUAUUGUCGAAUAUACAAAUGUUUGUAUGUUCCUAUGUAAAGAAUAUGUCAUUUUUUCUAGUAGAUGAUGAUGAUGAUAUAUGAAAACUUGGUGAAUUUUUUCUGUUGUAAUUUUGUUCGAUGAAUGUUUUCUGUUGAAACUCGUAUUAAGUUUGUUCGAUGAAUGUUUCAUGGGAGAGAGGGAGUAAAAACUCAUCAGACAUGAGGGGGGAGGAGUCACCCUCCGGUUCCUAACUCUCUCGGGAAUUCAACAUAUAUUCAACAUGAGGCGGGGGGGGGGGGCGAUACCCCCUCCCCGAUAACUUCGAUAUGAGGGGGGGUCGAUAUACCCCCUCCCCGAUAACAUUUUUUUCCAUGUAUGUAUGUCGUCGUUGUCAAUAUACCCUCUCCUUUACCAAGUUAAAAGAGCGUUGUCGUCGAGGCCACCCCGAACCCUUUAAGCGUUGCCGAGGCCACCCCAAACCCUAGAGAAGCGUCGAGGCCAUUAAUUAAUAUAAUUCCUUGUUGUGAAUAGCUAUAGCUAGGUCUACGUUUGCCACUAAUAUAUCCAUCUGUCAUGUUUGUAUAAUAAUUGCCAUGUUGUAAUAUUUGUAGAAACUAUGGAGCACGGCCGAGACGGGGAAGUAGAACGGGUGUUGGGGGACAUAAUUGCAGCUGGAGCUGAUGUCAUGUCGUAUCUCAACGAAACCAAUGGUCUGGAAGGAGAGGGUGAAGAAGUAGGCUACGGUUAGAACAACGGAGGAGUAAGGACAUGAUUAUGAUGGCUCCGGUGAUCGAAUGCCGGUGCAAGAAGGAGGCCGUGAUGACGACUCCGGUGACCGAACAGAGUCCGACCAGGUAUAUAUAUUAAUUAGGCCUGUGCUGACUAGCUAAUUGAUGCAUUCAUUGUUUUGGUAUCUACACAUAUUAACUCUCGUCUUUCUUCUUAUUUCUAGCCCUUCGGAUCGAGCACAACUUUGGUAAAGAGACAAGGCCCGAAGAAAAGUUGCGCUCAGAAGAAAGGUUCACGAUCACAGCAAUCGCGCGCGAUGGCCAAUAGAUUGAACCCCUCCGGACCAAGGAGGCAUUUACUGCUCAGUGCGGGGUUCUUGUUAGGGACAUGAUCCCGAUCAGCAUCGAGCUAUGGAAUCAGCCUAAGGAUGAAGAGCUUCAAGUUUCUUUUGUCGAAGAUAGACAGAAAGAUGAUCUUUGGAAAGCGCUGAAGGUAAAUUUCACCCCACUGGAAGAGGAGGAUCCGUAGAAUCCAGUUAUGGAGCCAAUGAUCAAGUCGUUUGCAUUCAAGAAGAUGGCAGAUCUAUUUAGGAGGUGGAAGAAUGAGCUGAAAGCAAAGUUUGUCGAUAAAAAAAAGACACCAGAAUUCGUCGGCCGAUUUGAGAAGCUCAGAGAUCAAUGGGACGCAUUUGUGGACAACAAUACAUCGGAGAGGAGUAAGAAGAUGUCAGCGAUAAACAAGAUAAAUGCUGCGAAGAAGGAGCAUCACCAUCGCACAGUGUCAGGUAGCUACCUCAAAGCCCGACCGUUGUGGGCCAAGGCUGAGAACGACCUGCUUGAUAAAGGGGUCGAACCAGAGACAUUGAACUGGCCAGACCGUUGCCGGACUUGGUUCUUCGGGGUUGGCGGAACCUUGGACCCUGUAAUAGGGAAGUGCAUUUGGACGAGGGAGCAACUGUGAAUACCCCUCAUGAAGCUUCAACACUAUAUUAACGCAGCGCAGGAAGUGACGUUCAUUCCAGACAGAGAGAAGGACGAGCUCAUAAUGGCCCUCGGGAAUCCUGAGCACCCUGGACGGACACGAGGCACGCCAGACUUCGUUCCGUGGAAGCCUGAGUUUCCGGACACAGGCGGUUACAAAUGCCAAGAGAGGAUGAGGAAGGUGGAGCAGAGCGAACUGCAGGAGCUGCACACAAGGGUACAAAAGCUAGAGGAACGAGAUGCAGUUUGAAGCAAGCGACCUGCCGAAGCUACCCCGACAUCUCAGCGGAGAAGCAGCGUGGCUUCCACCGAGCUACUUUAGGUGGAGCCUGUCUUCAUGGCUCCUGCUAGCUACCCCGUGGAUGCUAUCACAUUGUCUCAACAUUGCCACCUUAUGACGCAAUGGCAGAAGUACAAAGUCAAGGCGGCUGUCGGUUCUGUUUGACCUCCUAAACCAGGCGCAACUUUUCACUGCCGUCCAAUUCCAAAAGGAUAUGCUAGGGUGACGGUGGAAGAAAUAACGAAGGGAUUUGAGGAGCUCUUGCUUGACCACCCUACCGGUGAAGGGGAGACUCGGCUAGGUUCUGCUUUGAAUACUCCAUGCCUAUGGCGGAAGGAGCUCAUCAACCUUCCGAACUGGACGCCUUCGCCUCCUCCUCCUCCUCCAGCGAGUCAGGGCACUCCGCCUCCUCCUCCGCCUGCUCCUCCGGCGAGUGAUCAGGGCACUCCGCCUCCUUCUCCACCUGCGCCGGCGCGCCCGACCAGCCAGCCUCCUCCAUCUCCGCCUUGUCAGCAAGGGCGGAAGAGACCUGCCGCCACUCCAGCUGCUCCGACGCGUCGCAAUCCUUCUCCUCCGCCUCAUAAGCAACUAAAGAAGAAAGCCGCAGUCGCUCGGCCUGCUCCGGCGUCUAGCAGUACAGGCGGGAGGCAAUACAUAUUCGGUCCAUCUCUCAAGACUCCAGAGGAGUUACCAUACGAGAUGACUGUCGGUGUCAAAACCGGCGGAUCUUGGGUAGGGGGUCCCGAACUGUGCGUCUAGGCGGAUGGUAACAGGAGACAAGGGACACGAUGUUUUUACCCAGGUUCGGGCCCUCUCGGUGGAGGUAAAACCCUACUCCUGCUUGAUUAAUAUUGAUGGUAUGGGUAUUACAAGAGUUGAUCUACCACGAGAUCAGAGAGGCUAAACCCUAGAAGCUAGCCUAUGGUAUGAUUGUUGUUCGUCCUACGGACUAAAACUCUCCGGUUUAUAUAGACACCGGAGAGGGCUAGGGUUACACAGAGUCAGUUACAAUGGGAGGAGAUCUUCAAUCGUAUCGCCAAGCUUGCCUUCCACGCCAAGGAAAGUCCCUAUCCGGACACGGGACGGAGUCUUCAAUCUUGUAUCUUCAUAGUCCGGGAGUCCGGCCAAAGGUCAUAGUCCGGCCAGCCGGACACCCCCUAAUCCAGGACUCCCUCAAUGACCGAGAAGGAAAACGAGGAGAUCUGUCAAGCCUAAGUGAAGGACUACUUCGCAAUGCAAAGAGCUAAGGGACAUCCACCUUCGGAGGAGAAGAUAGAUCCGGUGAAAGCAAAGCGCACUUUGGAUGCCCUGCAGCGACCACCACCGCCUCCGCCGCAAACCAACUAUGAGUGCAUUACUGAAAAGACAUAUAAGGAAGCGAAGUGGUCGGGAAGUACUUGAAGUGACAAAAGGUUACAAGAACGAAGAACUGGGAAAAAAAUUCCCCAGCUCGACGAACAAGCAAACCAAUCGUGCCCCCCGCUCAAGGUGUCUAGCGAUAUCGUCGCUAAUCAUCCGGGGAUCUUGCCCGGUACCAAUCCUGGAGAUUACGACGAUGCACAUUUUGAUAUAAUGGAGGUGGACGAAUUCAAAUACGAGUACGGGAAGCCUCUCGUCAAAGAUAGAACUACUCUAACAAUGAUGAUGCGAAGAUUCCAUGAUUGGUACAUGGAAACCUGCAGAAAGCAGUCAGCUGGGAAGAAAAUCGAUACUUUGACGCUGAAAGUUAAAGAGGAUCAACACGACCUCUUUGGAAUUAAGGAGUUGUCUGUUCCAUUUGAGGAGUUCUUCCAGUUUUUUAAUCUAAAGGCCCUCGACAAAUUAACGGUCACUUGCUAUUGUCUGUAAGUACUACUUCUGUCAUUAAGUCCCUAUAUAUAGCUCAACUCUUUUAUUGCAUGUAUAUAUAAUUAUCCUCACUAUAUUAUGCAGAUUGAAGAUCGUCGAAUGCAGAAAAGCUGAAAUGUAUGAUAUUGGGUUCAUUAACACAAAUCUCAUAGAUGAAUUUACGGUUAAAUUUCAUGCCGAAGAAACCGAGGAGAACUUGCUACGAUCAUUGGUAAUAAAUCAAAAAAAGAUACAAUACUCUUUCCUUACAACUUCAAGUGAGUGUUACUGUCUUGUGCAUAUUCGGUUUCCCUUAAUUAUUACUCGAGGUUAUAGUAAUUAAUGCAAUUGAUGAGUUAUAUGCAUGCAUGCGCAGUUUUCACUAUAUUCUCCUAGAGAUUAAGCUUGAGCAGGGACUAGUAAGCGUCUUAGACUCGAGACGAAAAAAUCGCGAGGAAUAUGCGGACAUGUCUAAAAUGCUCGAGAAGUAAAUUGACGUGAUGCACAACCAAAGUGGGGGUCGUCACGGAAGUAAAUAUCAGAAUUUUAGAUGGACAACAGAACAGUAGUAACAGUGGUGUCGUUCUUACAAGAUAUUUGGAAUCAGGCAAUUUCACACACUGCUGGAUCUUGAUUGUCUUAGCACAGUUACUUGACAAUCCCAUUGCUUUAACAGAUCCAAGAAAGAAGUUCCACCACGUGCAAGCAGUGAAUAACAUUUAAAUGUGCACCAGAAUGACAGAGAAAUGCAUCAAUCAAAUCAACUUGGGGACCGAAGCAUCAAGUGUAAAAGAACGUUAAACAGUUUUUUCAGUCUUUUAUGUACCGAAGAAAAGAGUCGGUAACUGCAAAGGCCCGCUUAUUAGCUUGCAUUAUCUUCUGAUACAGUGACUCUGUUCCAAAGCAACACUAUGCAGAAUAGGUGAUCUUCUAUAGUAGUACAAAUGUAUGGAGGCUAGUACAACUAACAAUCAGUACUCUGUUAUGGGCGUGUGAAAAAAAGGGGGCAGACUAUUCUGAAGAGAAAAUGAAUAGCAUAUGCAACGAAAUUUCAGAGAUGGAUCCACAGCAUGAAAAUUAGACGGCUAGGCCGAAUUAGGUGGCGUUGGAACCCGAUCCUAAUUCUCUUCCAUAUGGAAGAUGCACAAUUAGUGGUACUCAAAGCCAUAGACAGUGAAGGCAGGCUUGUUGGAUCCCCAUAUGUGUCCUUGUCUUUCGACCCUUGAGCGAAGAAAAGGGGAGCACCACAUCCGGGGCCGCCGCCCCGACGUAAAGUCAAACCGCCCCCUCUGGGUCGCAUCGACCAGGCCGACGACCUCGCUACCCACGUAGCACCAAGUCGCCACCAAAACAAUGCACAACUGCGACUCUGCCCCAUAGAGCCACCGUUGCAUCGCUAUCCAAGGCCGCCACCUCGGCGUAAAUCCACCGUCCGGAGCCGCCGCCCCGGACUCCAUCACCCCGACGACGACGCAACUCUGCACCACUGCCAUGAGACCACCACCUCCACAAAGGUCAUCAAUAUUGAUUCUUGUUAGUUUGGUCCAAACUGAAACUAUUUGUGAUGCUCUUCUGUCAUGUGAGUGCAAUUUCGUGCAUACAAAGUAGCCCUCCAUCGGAGUCUGAUUCUUUCUAGGAUUUAGAACCAUGUGGGAUUAAUUACCCACUAAAAUCACAAGGAUACAUCAGCAGCACACUAGAUAGUAUUACUAAGCUACUAGUGCAUCACGACUCACUUUGGGUAGCUUCCACAAACUGCUCGAUGGAUUACAAACAGCUAGCAGUUUUAAUUAUUGCAGUUAACUUACUUAAGUAGAAACCCCAGUGUUCUACUCUGCUACUAGCACACAUGGUGGUUAGAAUUUCCUGUACAACAGAGUAAAAAGGCCACAAUCCCAAUAAAGGCCCUUGUUAUUUUUCCUUGUCUCCAUGAUUGAGAUUCCAUUGUUGAGCAACCUGAUCGAUUGCAAACAACUGGUAGUUUUAAUUUACCGCCGUUAACUUAAGGAGUAACCUGAUCGAUUGCAAACAGCUGGUAGCACACAUGCAUGGUGGUUAGCAGGAACUUCCUGUAGGACAGAGUAAAAAUGCCACAUUCACAGUAAAAGCCCAGGUUAUUAUUCCUUGUCUUCAUGAUUGAGAUUCCUGUAUGCUGUCUCCACUUACCAAGGGACCCAUGGGUACCAGUGUGAGGUGUUAUUUUUUUUUUCUGGAGUGGAGAACAGUAAAUUAAGGACAAGUACUUUACUUGGUUCACACCCUGCUUCUCCAUCUGUCCAACUGCUUUCCUGUCUUAGUUUGCAUGUCAAGGAAAAAUGCUGCUGCUAGAGGAGUACUCCUUCCGUCCUGUUUUCUCUCUCUCUCUCUUUCCAAUAGAAACAAGCAGUAAAAUGCGCACGUUCAUGUCACGUGUCUUCUAAUUUCCAAUCAAAUUCUGCAAAAUAGCUCAAUCAGUGUAGUGCGGUGCAUGAUGGAGUGGAGUAACAAAUAAACAGAUAUAUUACAGCAAGGGAAGGUUGGAAACAACUAGUACCCAGUGAUGGAAUUGUCAGUGCUCACUUUAAACUCCCCUAUUUCAAAUAGACACAUGCUUACUGUUGGAAGCGAUCUUGCAUCACUAGAUAUUGUUACUUGAGUUUGUAUGUGGUUCAUAUCCUUGGGAGCCUCAUUUCAUUUGGCCAUGGAAAGAGUGUUGGCCAAAGGUGUGGUUUAGGCAGUCUUCGUCCCAUGUGAUAUGUUCAAAUCUUGGGCAAUCACUAUUAUGAAAGAUAUGUUAUUAACUACUCCCUCCGUUUUAAAAUAUUUGUCUUUCUAGAGAUUUCAACAAGUGAGUACAUAUGAAGCAAAAUAAGUGAAUCUAUACUUUAAAAUAUGUCUAUAUACAUUCGUAUGUGGUAGUCCAUUUGAAAUCUUUAAAAAGACAAACAUUUAGGAAUGGAGGGAGUAUUAUAGUGGAGGUAAGCAAGGGAGGGUAUGUGCAAUACUGAAGUUAUGAAACGACAUCAAAAUACACGAUUGAAAAAUAAGCUAUCCUCCACUGCCUCUUGGCAACAUCAUUACAUGUCAGUGAACUAGCCUUCGCUAAUUAAUUAUUAUUCAUUUUUCUCUUUCCACCACCGUUGAACUGCCCGCUCCUAGGUAUACUUUGGAUCUUAACGUCCCAUUUCUCGUUUGGUUGGAGCGAGUGAACAAGACAUGAUGAUUCACGAGGGAGGGUGGGAGGGUGGCUACCAGUUUGAGGUGUAUGUUUUCUUCCUGUUGUGGAAAUAUCAGCACAUUUUUUAAUAGACUAAUUCACGAGUAAAUGAGAAGCAUGGUAAAUACGGUAUGCAACUCAUACCGAUACCUAAGCAUAUGAGCAUGUACAGUAUAUAGAAACAAAACAUCUAUGAAUAUAGCAUAUACGGCUAGCACAUGUACGAGGGAUGAACGGAUCAUACCCUCCGGUUGGCCAGGCCAACGCGGCGGCGGUAGGAGCAACCUCAGCGUCGUCCAUGACCUUUUUCUUGGCGGCGGCGUCUUCGACCAUGGUGUCGAUGUAGGGGAAGUAGUGAAAGCAGAGGAGAACGGAGACGGAUCGGGAGCAGCCGCAUUGAGACACUUCCUAAAAACCUUAUUCCCGUUCUCCUGGGCAAGAUCUCGAACGACAGGGUUCCGGAGGCACCUACUCUCUCGACCAACCAUGCACAGGAUCGUCGCGACGGGAUCGUCAGAAGCAGCACAGAGAGAGGAACGGUAGAUGACGGCUAGGGUUGUGCAGGAGGGACUGAGUGAGUUAGGGUUCACUACAUAGACCAGCACCUCUUUAUAUAUGUCGUCGGGUAUAUGGGCCUGGGCUGCGAAUAGCUCACGGUCCAACGUCUCGGACAGUGGCACUUUCGUAAGCGACUCGUUAAUUAAUCCACAAUUAUUAACCAUUCUUGACUGGAAAAAUAAGGCUCGGCUCGGCUCAUUCCCGCAACCCGCAGCGCGCGCGUCGUGACAGGGCGAAGCGUGGCGAGGCGGCGGCGAAGGAAGAGGAGUGCGCGUGUACAACUCCUCUUCCGAAGCGCCCAAUGGCAUGUGGUAGAGCAGCCCUUAUAAAGGGGUCUCACUCUUCUUACUCUAGCAGUAUGAUACUAAACUUCCCACCACUUGACAUGCACAUAAAUGGGCCUUAGAGAUUAACCAAGGAUUAUUGUCUUAUAUGGGCCUAAGCUCAUCUAUAAUCCAAUAUUGUGUUAUAUGGGCCUAAGCCCACUAUAAUCCAAUAACCCCCCCACCAAAUCUCGAGGCACAUAAUUUUGUCAGCUAUUCCAGACAAUAUUUGAUAUACCAGAAUUUCUAGUGAAGAAUUAUAAGUUGAACUUCCACCAAGAGCAACAGGAUUAGACUUCUUCACAACUGAACAAUGGACUAUGUCUUGAAUUAUCAGUUUAGCGUGCAGAAGUUUUGCCUAUUGUCAGCUGAUACGUGUCUGCUAAAGGCUAAACCCCACUGGAGCUUAUUAGCCAUACUCCUUACCUUCUCAUGAGCUUUCUAGAGAUUACCCAAUCUCAUGGACUGUGACCAGCAGUCGGUCUCACAUAGGUGUGUUCCUCCAAAGAAUGCUUUGUAGGCUAGCAUCUUACUUACACAAGCUUUGGAACACAUUAAGACAAAAGUCAGUGUGCCUUUCAAAUUAUGAGAGUAUUGCAUCUCCAAUGGAGUGGGUUAGUAAGGAUACUCUCCUCAGUUGACCGCUAUAUUAUUUUCCUAGGUCCUAAUUCACGGGAUCUCCGAUCACAUAGAUUAUGUUAACCACAUGGAAAUUUAUGUGGGUCUCAUGCCCAUCUCCCUCGAUGCAUUUUCUAUCACAAUCCGUGAUAGCCCUUUCAUGAAGGGAUUCGUCAUAUUCUUAGCAUUUGGAUGUAAUCCAACGCUAUCACUCCAGAGUUUCUAGAAUGCCAGACAGAUUUUAAUCUUCUUCUUAUGUGCUUUGUGGAUUCAUAAGUAUAGUCUGGACUGGCUUAUCAACCACAAGCAAAUCCAUCAAGAGCUCUCAAAGCCAUUCUGCUUCGAUGCAUGAUUUGUCUAAUGCUGUGAGUUCUGCUUCCAUAGUCGAUUUCGUUAAGAUCGUCUGCUUGCAAUACUUUCAGGAAACAACACCACCACCAAGUGUGAAGACAUAUCCACUUGUGGCAUUCAUCUCAUCAGCAUCAGAUAUCCAGUUCAAAUCACUAUACCCCUCAAGUACCGUCGGGUGCCCAGAAUAGUGAAUUUCGUAGUUCACAAUACCUUGCAAAUAAUGCAUCACUCGUUCAACAGCAUACCAAUGUACAUCUCCCAGAUUGAGAAGACCAUGCGAGACAGCCAACGAGAGUAACACUUGAAUGGUGUCAGUCUAGUCAUGGGUGAGUAAGUAUCAAAGAAAUCUUCUUCUUUAUGGAUAUAACACUUGGCCACAAGUCUAGCCUUGUACUUCUCAACAGUAUCAUCGGGCUUAAGCUUCUUUUUGAACACCCAUUUACAUCCCAAUGAUUAGAAACCAUAAGGACGAUCAAUGAUCUAUUGUGUCCUGUUAGCCAAGAUGGAACCCAUCUCGCUAUGGACCGCAUCCUUGCAGUAGUCAGCAUCCGGUGAUGCAUAAACUUCUGAAUGGAACUGGGAGUGUUGUCAUCCAUGAGGUAUAUGAGGAAAUCAUCACCAAACAACUUUGCACUCCUCUGUAUCUUGCUCCUAAUAGGAGCUUCCUCAUCAUCCUUCGUGGAACUUUCAUCACUUUUGUGUUCAUAAUCUUCCAUCGGAAUAGCAGGUUCAGGAGUCUCAUAGGAUUCCAAUCUAGAAGUGCUUUGCAUGUCUCUCAUGGGGAAAAUAUCCUCAAACAAUGUAGCAUCUUUAGACUCCAUGAUCGUACCGGCCUUCAUGUUGUGUACAUUAGGUUUCACCACUAGAAAUCUAUAGCCAACGCUAUGCUUGGCAUAGCCUAGAAAAACGCAGUUCACAGUCUUUGGUCCCAACUUAUGCUUUUUGAUUGUCGGCACGUUGACUUUUGCCAAAUAGCCCCAAGUGCACAAGUAAGAGAGUGUAGUUCUUUUCUUUUCCCAUUGCUCAUAGGAGUACUAUAAUUAUCCUUUGUGUGAACUUUAUUCAGGACAUGACAUGAUGUCAAUACAACCUUUUCCACCAUGCCUUGAAUAAAUCUGAUGUAUCUAACAUGGUGUUAACCAAAUCUGUUUGAGUAUGGUUUUUCCGUUCGGCAACCCCGUUUGACUGGGAUGAAUAGGGCGGCAUCCUCUCAUGAAUAAUACCAUGUUUUGCACAAAAUAAAUCAUCACCAUGAACAGACCGGAUUCACUUUAUUUUCUUUUCAAGUUGGUUCUCAACUUAUGCUUUAUAGAUCUUAAAGUAGUGUAGAGCCUUAUCCUUAGUAUUUAACAAAUACACAUAGCAGAAUCUAGUGGAAUCAUCAACCAACAUCAUGAAAUAUUUCUUUCCACCUUUAGUCAAAGCACCAUUCAUCUCGCAGAGAUCUGAAUGUAUGAGCUUUAGUGGAGCCAGGUGUCUCUCCUUCGUAGACUUGUGAGGCUUUACGAGGUUGCUUAGCUCGCACACACGCAUGGCACUUAGAGCUUUGGCUAAUGUAAAAAUUGGAAUUAAAUCCAUCUUAGCUAUCUGCCUCAUACAACCGAAAUUUAUGUGACAAGGACGUGAAUAACAAACCUCGGAUUCAUUUACGCUAGAAUGUUUUGGUUCAUGACUUUAUUGCAGAAAUCCGCAAGGGAAAGGUAGAACAAACCACUGCAAUCGUAUCAUUUUCCAACAAACAGUCCACAUCAAGAUACAACUACUUUAUUGGAUUCAAAUACUAACUCAAACCCUUCUUUACAUAGAAAGGAGCCACUAAUGAGAUUCUUCUUGAUGGCGGGGACAAGCUGCACGUUCUUCAGUUGCACGAUCUUUCCUGAAGUAAACUUCACAUCUACCAUGGCAACACCAUGAACAAAAACAUGCGAGCCAUUCCCCAUCAGGACGGAGCAAUCUUGUGCGACCUCAUAAGAAGAGAAUAAAGACAUAUCAGCGCACACAUGAAUAUUUGCACCUGUGUCAACCCACCAAUCAGUGGACUCACAAACUAAAAGUACGCUAAACAGAUUACCAUACCUAGAUGCCCCAUCAUUGUUUCUCAUAGUCACAUUGAUAGACUUGGGAGUCCUGUCCUGACUUCUUGUACUUGUUUGGGCACUUGUUUGCCCAAUGUUCAUAUGAACCACAAGUAAAUCAGCCAUCUCUUUUUUUUAUCUUUCUUCUUACCCUUGUUCUUGAAGGUAGUAUUCUGCUGGACAGUGUUCUUUCCCUUGAACUUGUGGAAAUUCUUGCACCACAUUGGCGCUAGAAGAACCCUCUUCUCCUUUGACGUGUGAGUCCUUUGCUCUCACUUAGAUGACCGAUGACAUCCUUAACAGAGAAUUCAAGUCUCAAGUUCUUGAGAGAAGUAGCAAAGUUCCUUCAUCUAGGAGGGAGUUUUGCAAUAAUGCAACUCGUGACAAACUUGUUCAGCAACUCACACUUUAGGAGCUCCAGCUCCUUGGUCAUGCAAUUCAUGAGCCUGGUCCAAUACAGAACGGUUAUCAACCAUCGUGUAUGUUGGGGAACGUAGUAAUUUCAAAAAUUUCCUACGCACACGCAAGAUCAUGGUGAUGCAUAGCAACGAGAGGGGAGAGUGUAAUCUACAUACCCUUGUAGACCGAAAGCGGAAGCGUUAGAACAACGCGGUUGAUGUAGUCGUACGUCUUCACAGCCCGACCGAUCAAGCACCGAAACUACGGCACCUCCGAGUUCUAGCACACGUUCAGCUCGAUGACGUCCAUCGAACUCCGAUCCAGCCAAGUGUCGAGGGAGAGUUCCGUCAGCACGACGGCGUGGUGACGAUCUUGAUGUUCUACCGUCACAGGGCUUCGCCUAAGCACCGCUACAAUAUUAUCGAGGAGGACUAUGGUGGAGGGGGGCACCGCACACGGCUAAUAGAUCUCAAGGAUCAAUUGUUGUUGUGUCUUUGGGGUGCCCCCCUGCCCCCAUAUAUAUAGGAGCAAGGGGGGAGGCGGCCGGCCUAUGGAGGAGGCGCACCAAGGGGGGAGUCCUACUCCCACCGGGAGUAGGACUCCUCCUUUCCUUGUUGGAGAAGAAAAGAGGAGGAGAGGGAGAAGGAAAAAGGGGCUGCCCCCCUUGUCCAAUUCGGACCAGAGGGGGGGCGCAGGCCUCCUUCCUUUUGGCCUCUCUCCUCUAUUCCCGUAUGGCCCAAUAAGGCCCAUAUACUCCCCGGCGAAUUCCCGUAACUCUCCGGUACUCCGAAAAAUACCCGAAUCACUCGGAACCUUUCCGAACUCCGAAUAUAGUCGUCCAAUAUAUCGAUCUUUACGUCUCGACCAUUUCGAGACUCCUCGUCAUGUCCCCGAUCUCAUCCGGGACUCCGAACUCCUUCGGUACAUCAAAACUCAUAAACUCAUAAUAUAACUGUCAUCGAAACCUUAAGCGUGCGGACCCUACGGGUUCGAGAACAAUGUAGACAUGACCUAGAACUAUUCUCGGUCAAUAACCAAUAGCGGAACCUGGAUGUUCAUAUUGGCUCCCACAUAUUCUACGAAGAUCUUUAUCGGUCAAACCGCAUAACAACAUACGUUGUUCCCUUUGUCAUCGGUAUGUUACUUGCCCGAGAUUCGAUCGUCGGUAUCCAAUACCUAGUUCAAUCUCGUUACUGGCAAGUCUCUUUACUCGUUACGUAAUGCAUCAUUCCGUAACUAACUCAUUAGUUACAUUGCUUGCAAGGCUUAUAGUGAUGUGCAUUACCGAGAGGGCCCAGAGAUACCUCUCCGACAAUCGGAGUGACAAAACCUAAUCUCGGAAUACGCUAACCCAACAUGUACCUUUGGAGACACCUGUAGUACUCCUUUAUAAUCACCUAGUUACGUUGUGACGUUUGGUAGCACCCAAAGUGUUCCUCCGGUAAACGGGAGUUGCAUAAUCUCAUAGUUACAGGAACAUGUAUAAGUCAUGAAGAAAGCAAUAGCAACAUACUAAACGAUCAAGUGCUAAGCUAACGGAAUGGGUCAAGUCAAUCACAUCAUUCUCCUAAUGAUGUGAUCCCGUUAAUCAAAUGACAACUCUUUUGUCCAUGGCUAGGAAACAUAACCAUCUUUAAUAAACGAGCUAGUCAAGUAGAGGCAUACUAGUGACACUAUGUUUGUCUAUGUAUUCACACAUGUAUUAUGUUUUCGGUUAAUACAAUUCUAGCAUGAAUAAUAAACAUUUAUCAUGAUAUAAGGAAAUAAAUAAUAACUUUAUUAUUGCCUCUAGGGCAUAUUUCCUUCAGUGUAAUCAUGGAACUGCUCCAUGGCAUACAAUUCGGUCAGCAUUGGUUGCGCCGAACUUAGCUUCAAGCGCAUCCCACAUGUUUUUGGCAACGUGCAUAUGCAGAUAUGCGGCAGCCAACUUGUCUACGAUCACAGUAAGAAUGGCUCCCACAAAGACAGGUGUGGCAUCCCUGAACACCUUAUCCUGUUCAGGAGCAAUCAUUUCUGCGGGAUCCACCGCACCGACCCAGAACACGUUUAUAGCUGUGAGCCACAAGGUGGUACUCGUCUGCCAACACUUAAAAUGCCUUCCAGUAAACUUUUCCAGUUUGAGUGUAGCGGUGAAGCCUUGAAUCGAAAAGUGCCUAAAAUAAGGUUUUUGGAUUGUCGGAAAUAUCAGCAUAUUUUUUAUUAGACUAAUCCACGAUUAAACGAGAAGCAUGACAAAUACGGUAUGCUACUCAUACCGAUACCUAAAUAUGUGAGCACGUGCAGUACAAAGAAACAAAGCAUUUAUGAAUUGUGACGCCCGGAUAGUUAAGCUACAGUAACCUCUACUAAUGAUGCCACGUCACCACAUUUACUGUUGACGAUCUCGCGAUGAUUCAAUCCCGUUCGAAAUCAAAACUAAAAAUCAAUCAAAUGGUAAAAGUUUUUCAAACUUUAAAAAGAAAAUGUUCUAGAGGUGCCAAAUAAUUCUUAGGUAAUUAUGUUGGAGAAUCCACAUUUUUAUAAAAUAUUUAAAUGCACUAAAGUGAUUUAAACAGUAGCAAAAACCCUUGUUUAAUUGCCUUUGGUAUUUCGUAAAAUACUAAAAGAUUUUAUUUUGGGGAAAACUUUUUAUGCAGUAGGUUGUCCUGAAACAUUAAUUUAGGAGCUAUUGCCUUAUUUUACAAAACAAAAAAAACAAACUUAAAAGUAAAAUAAAAACUGGAGAAAAGAAAUAUAAANNNNNNNNNNNNNNNNNNNNNNNNNNNNNNNNNNNNNNNNNNNNNNNNNNNNNNNNNNNNNNNNNNNNNNNNNNNNNNNNNNNNNNNNNNNNNNNNNNNNNNNNNNNNNNNNNNNNNNNNNNNNNNNNNNNNNNNNNNNNNNNNNNNNNNNNNNNNNNNNNNNNNNNNNNNNNNNNNNNNNNNNNNNNNNNNNNNNNNNNNNNNNNNNNNNNNNNNNNNNNNNNNNNNNNNNNNNNNNNNNNNNNNNNNNNNNNNNNNNNNNNNNNNNNNNNNNNNNNNNNNNNNNNNNNNNNNNNNNNNNNNNNNNNNNNNNNNNNNNNNNNNNNNNNNNNNNNNNNNNNNNNNNNNNNNNNNNNNNNNNNNNNNNNNNNNNNNNNNNNNNNNNNNNNNNNNNNNNNNNNNNNNNNNNNNNNNNNNNNNNNNNNNNCCAUGAUCCCCCACAUCUCUUCCCUCUCCCCCUCAAUCUGGAUCGGGGGGCGCACGCCCGAUUCCGCCGCUGCCCGACGCGGCCUGCCUCCGUCCCCAUCGCUCCGACGCCGUCGCCUUGGACCUCGCCGCCUCGUUCUCAACCGCCCAUCGCCGGACCGCCUCGCCUCCCCCUCUUUCCCGAGCUGGAUGCGCCGCUGCCCAAGGACCUCGCCGGAGGCCACGACGCCGGAGCCACCCCGUCGGCCUGCAUCCUCUCCGCCGUCGCCUCGUCCCCGUCCUCCUCCUUGCGCCCCACUGCCAAUCCCCUACACGCGCGGUGAGGCCCGACCUCCUCUCCCCUCUCGCCUCGCUGAACCGCGCUCGCCCCGCACCUGGCGCCCGUGGCCUUGCCUCGCACACGGCCGGCCCCGCGCGUGGCCGCCUCCGCCGGUCUGCUGUCCCUCGCCUACGCGCAGACCACCCGCCGCUCGCCCCGUCGCCGGCGCCUUCGGCUCUGUCGCCUUCCCUGCUCCUCAUGCUGCCCGCACCCCCUAUUGCUGCUCUACAUCACCGACGUCACCCUUCGUUGGCGCCGCUCGCCGUCGACCGCCCGCAGUGCCGUUGUUGCGGCCUCGUCUCUGGCCGUUGCCCCUGUCGUCCUGGGCAAGCGCCCAAACAGGCUGGGCAUCAUCGCCCGCUAGCACCCGCCCCGCGGUGGCCCUCUGGGCCACUGACUAGGGGGCCCCACGCCCCAGAAUAAAAUAAAUAAAUAAAUAAAAUGAAAAUUAAUUAACUUAAUUAAGCCCAAUUAAUUAAUCUAAUUAAUCCUGUCUACUAACCUACUCACUUAGUUAAGACUAAUUAAACUCUGUUUAGCUAAUCUGUGACAUUGACGAACGGGACCCACGCGUCUGUUGACCCAGUCAACAGACGGUUGACUAAUGACAUCAUGCUGACGCCAUAUUUGCAAUUUCAAAUUUAAUUAAUUCUGUUAAUUCUAAAAAUAUUUUAAAACUUUGAAAAUUAAUAUAAAAUAAAUCAUAACUCGGAUGGGAAAACUUUAUACAUGAAAGUUGCUCAGAACGACGAGACAAAUUCGGAUAUGCAGCCCGUUCGUCCGCCACACAUCCCUAGCAUAGCGAACAUGCAAAAUUCCCCCUCUAUUUCAUCUGUCUGAAUAUGUCAAACACCGGGAAUACUUUUCCGGAUGUUUUCCCCACUUCACCGGUAUCACCUACCCCUGCGUUAGAUCACCCCUGGCACCCUGGCAGCGCAUAUUGCCAUGUUAUGAUUUGUGAUGCUUUGAUUGCUUUGUUAUUUAUUGUGUUCCCCCUCCGUUACUUCUUUCCGGUAGACCUCAAGAUUGUUGCUGGUACCCCUGUGAUCGACUACAUCGACGACGAACCCUUCUCUUGCCAGAGCCACCAGGCAAGCCCCCCCUUGAUCACCAGAUAUCGCCUAUUCUUCUUUAUAUUGCUUGCAUUAGAGUAGUGUAGCAUGUUACUGUUCGGUUACUCCUAUUCUGUUGCAUAGCCUGUCAUUGUUGCUACAAUCAUUGAUACCUUACCCGCAAUCCUAAAUGCCUAGUAUAGGAUGCUAGUUUACCUUUAGUGGCCCUACAUUCUUGUCAGUCUGCCAUGCUAUACUAUUGGGCCGUGAUCACUUGGGAGGUGAUCAUGGGUAUAUACUAUACAUACAUACUAUUCAGGUGGUGACUAAAGUCGGGUUGUCUCGUUGAGUACCCGCAAGUGAUUACGAUGUGGGGGCUGAAAGGACAGGUGGCUCCAUCCUGGUAGAGGUGGGCCUGGGUUCCUGACGGCCCCCGACUAUUACUAUGUGGCAGAGCGACAGGGCGGGUUGAGACCACCUAGGCGAGAGGUGGGCCUGGCCCUGGUCGGCGUUCGUGGUUGCUUCAUAAUAACACACUUAACGAGAUCUUGGUAUUUGAUCUGAGUCUGGCCACUGGCCUAUACGCACUAACCAACUAUGCGGGAAAGAUAUGGGCACUCGACGUCGUGGUAUCAGCUGAAGCCUUCGUGACGUCAGCGACUGAGCGGUGCACGCCGGGUUGGACUGCGUUAAUGCAACUUCCUUUGUAAUGGAGGUUGCUAGGUCUGCUCACCGGCCGCCCUCGCAACGUGCAGGUGUGCAAUGGGCGAUGGGCCCAGACCCCUGCGCGCAUAGGAUUUAGACCGGCGUGCUGACCUCCGGGCAUGACCCAGAAAAGUGUGUCCGGCCAAAUGGGAUCGAGCGUGUUGGGUUAUGUGGUGCACCCCUGCAGGGAAGUUUAUCUAUUCGAAUAGCCGUGUCCCUCGGUAAAAGGACGACCCGGAGUUGUACCUUGACCUUAUGACAACUAGAACCAGAUACUUAAUAAAACACACCCAAACAAGUUCCACAGAUAACCCGGUGAUCGCUUUUCCACAGGGCGACGAGGGGAGGAUUGCCGGGUAGGAUUAUGCUAUGCGAUGCUACUUGAAGGACUUCAAUCUACUCUAUUCUACAUGCUGCAAGACGGAGGCUGUUAGAAGCGUAGUCUUCGAUAGGACUAGCUAUCCCCCUCUUAUUCUGGCAUUCUGCAGUUCAGUCCACCGAUAUUGCCUCUUUACACAUAUAUCCAUGCAUAUGUAGUGUAGAUCCUUGCUUGCGUGUACUAUGAAUGAGUACUCACGGUUGCUUUUCUCCCCCUCCCCCCCCCUUUCCUUUCUACCUGGUUGUCGCAACCAGAUGCUGGAGCCCAGGAGCCAGACGGCACCGUCGAUGACGACUACUACAUGGGAGGUGCCUACUACUACGUGCCGGCUGCUGACGACGACUAGGAGUAGUUUAGGAGGAACUUGGUAUGGUGAUACUUCUCACCAUCACCAUUCUUUCUUGGGUCCUCGUGUUGAUUCCAACCGGGGUAUCAACAAGUGAGCGGUGCUGUUUGGAUUCUACCCUUCUAGCAACCCUCUUGUUUUGAAGUUAAUGAUCAGCCGUUCAUUCUUAGACUAUUGACUAUUGAAUCACCAUUCCAACAUUGGUCGUGCAACCCAGCCCAUAUUCGGGUGCACCUUUCAACCAAUGUUUAAUUGUGUAUGUUUUCCUCAAGCAUACAUCAUUAUACCAUUUGAUCUGACAAAUGUUAUCUCCUUGUUCACAUAAUUGUGGAAAUCCAUCUUUUGUUAAUCUCGAUGAAUUGCGCUGAUUCUAUCAGCCACCUCCUCAUCCUCUUGUUGGUUUUCUGAUUAACUCUUGCUUCAGGAACCCGCUCCCAUAGUUCAUUUCCCGAGAAUCUUGCAAUGUCAUUUCGUCCAUUUGUGUUGCACCUUUCUUAUUGGACAUCCUGAAUCUGAGGUAUCAUGACACCAAUCAGAUUUGAAUCUUGGUCAGAUAUGAUGGUUGGAACAUAUUUUCAAAAGUUAUAACAUUGGUCGUUAUAUGACCUGGUAAGGUGGUGUCAUGCCGAGUACACCUGGCCGGAGGACCUAUUGUUAUAGCUUCCUUUUUAGCAAUGCUAGCUAUUCUUCCAUGAGGAAAUUGUAAGACUUAUUCUAUAAGUUGUUCCUGAUGGAUACUUUGUGUAUCCAAAGUUUGAUCUUUACCCAGUGACCAUGUCAAUGCUAUCUCGAAGCUUGUCUAUGGUACUCCUAUUUUCAACAAGAACAUUUGAAGCCCAAUGCUAAAUGUGUCCUGCUCAAUUACCCAAACACCACUGUAUGGGUAAUGUCAUGAAAUUUCUCUCACCUUAUCUAAAGAGUUUUCUACAUUAUAUCAUGUCAUGGAUAUCAUGCUCUCUUGUCCUUGGGAAGGAUAUACCCUUGAAAUAUGUGUUUAAACACAUUUUCCUUUCCAUUGUUAUGUUUAAUAUGAAGAUCACCUUUUCCUUUCCAUUGUUUUGUUUAACCUUUCUCGCAAUCUAUUUGAUCUAAGCAGUAAUGUUCUUCUGCUUAUGUAAACACCUCGGUGUACAACUCUUUCAGUAAGACCCUGUUACUAUUGUUGUUGACAUUCCGGUAACCACCGAUGGAUGAGAACUUAGCCUAUUGGUCCGCCUCGUUUCAACGAGCAGGAAAAUGGUUCUCUUCGUCCCUCGCCCUUGGUACCAACAUUGUUACUGACAUAUAACUGACAGGCUAACCUCUGACAUGCCUUGCUUACAUGAUAAUGCAAGACGUCAUCGCCCUUCCUACUUUUAACCCAUGUGGUGGGUCCAUAACCCACUGUUCCACAGGAUCGAAACCUGACUCUCAUGUACACCCUGUUUCCAAAGAUAUUCCUCACGCUUGGCUUCGUAUGUAAUUCACGAGCCACCUUCCGUGUGAUCCGCAGUUCUGGUAUUAAACACAAUACUUAAUUUCGUUGCUCUGAACCCCCUUUCACACUUUGUUUCAGGCAACAGACGGUUGCCUGCCAGCUCGAAACUUCCCAUAAUACCUCCUUACUUUGCUCUCGAUAUUUUCAGAGGUUUCAAUUCGAGAGUUACUUUCCACCUCCUUCCUCGAUGUUAUCUACCAGAUAGUCAACCUUGCCGAGGUUCGUUCUCCCGGAAUGCUCCCCCUUUAUUCUUUCGUAAGUGCGAUGGAGAUCCCAAAGAAAGGACGAUAACUUCAUCAUGAUGCAUUGAUGCAGAGAAAUGAAGACAUCAAUGAAAGGGAUCAACCUCUUCGAAAGGGCAGCCAAGACCGAGAAGACUCGUUAGGUCUUUCGCUACCAGCACCUUUCCCCCCUUAUUUCACCUCUUAAAUCUCGGGACGAGAUUUCUUGUAGUGGAGGAGAAUUGUGACGCCCGGAUAGUUAAGCUACAGUAACCUCUACUAAUGAUGCCACGUCACCACAUUUACUGUUGACGAUCUCGCGAUGAUUCAACCCCGUUCAAAAUCAAAACUAAAAAUCAAUCAAAUGGUAAAAGUUUUUCAAACUUUAAAAAGAAAAUGUUCUAGAGGUGCCAAAUAAUUCUUAGGUAAUUAUGUUGGAGAAUCCACAUUUUUAUAAAAUAUUUAAAUGCACUAAAGUGAUUUAAACAGUAGCAAAAACCCUUGUUUAAUUGCCUUUGGUAUUUCGUAAAAUACAAAAAUAUUUUAUUUCGGGGUAAAACUUUUUAUGCAGUAGGUUGUCCUGAAACAUUAAUUUAGGAGCUAUUGCCUUAUUUUACAAAAAAAAACUUAAAAGUAAAAUAAAAACUGGAGAAAAGAAAUAUAAAGAAAAAGAAAAAAGAACUAAAACUAAAACAAACAAAAGAACAAAGAAAAUNNNNNNNNNNNNNNNNNNNNNNNNNNNNNNNNNNNNNNNNNNNNNNNNNNNNNNNNNNNNNNNNNNNNNNNNNNNNNNNNNNNNNNNNNNNNNNNNNNNNNNNNNNNNNNNNNNNNNNNNNNNNNNNNNNNNNNNNNNNNNNNNNNNNNNNNNNNNNNNNNNNNNNNNNNNNNNNNNNNNNNNNNNNNNNNNNNNNNNNNNNNNNNNNNNNNNNNNNNNNNNNNNNNNNNNNNNNNNNNNNNNNNNNNNNNNNNNNNNNNNNNNNNNNNNNNNNNNNNNNNNNNNNNNNNNNNNNNNNNNNNNNNNNNNNNNNNNNNNNNNNNNNNNNNNNNNNNNNNNNNNNNNNNNNNNNNNNNNNNNNNNNNNNNNNACUCCCGACUGCACAGAUCCCCCACGAUCCCCCUCAUCUCUUCCCUCCCCCCCUCGAUCUGGAUCGGGGGGGCGUACGCCCGAUUCCGCCGCUGCCUGACGCGGCCUGGAUCCGUCCCCAUCGCUCUGACGCCGUCGCCUUGGACCUCGCCGCCUCGUCCUCAACCGCCCAUCGCCGGACCGCAUCGCCUCCCCCUCUUCCCCGAGUUGGAUGCGCUGCUGCCCGAGAACCUCGCCGGAGGCCACGACGCCAGAGCCACCCCGCCGGCCUGCAUCCUCUCCGUCGUCGCCUCGUCCCCGUCCUCCUCCUCGCGCCCCACUGCCAAUCCCCUAUACGCGCGGUGAGGCCCGACCUCCUCUCCCCUCUCUCCUCGCUGAACCGCGUUCGCCCCGCACCUGGCGCCCGUGGCCUUGCCUCGCACACGGCCCGCCCUGCGCGUGGCCGCCUCCGCCGGUCUGCUGUCCCUCGCCUUUGUGCAGACCACCCGCCGCUCGCCCCAUCGCCGGCGCCCUCGGCUCCGUCGCAUUCCCUGCUCCUCCUGCUGCCCGCACCCCUUAUUGCUGUUCUACAUCACCGGUGUCACCCUUCGUUGGCGCCGCUCGCCGUCGACCGCCCGCAGUGCCCUUGUUGCAGCCUCGUCUCUGGCCGUCGCCCCCUGUCGUCCUGGGCAAGCGCCCAAACAGGCUGGGCAUCAUCGCCCGCUAGCACCCACCCCGCGGUGGCCCUCUGGGCCACUGACUAGGGGGCCCCACGGCCCAGAAUAAAAUAAAUAAAUAAAUAAAAUGAAAAUUAAUUAAAUUAAUUAACUUAAUUAAGCCCAAUUAAUUAAUCUAAUUAAUCCUGUCUACUAACCUAAUCACUUAGUUAAGACUAAUUAAGCUCUGUUUAGCUAAUCUGUGACAUUGACGAACGGGACCCACGCGUCUGUUGACCCAGUCAACAGACGGUUGACUGAUGACAUCAUGCUGACGCCAUAUUUGCAAUUUCGAAUUUAAUUAAUUCUGUUAAUUCUAAAAAUGUUUUAAAACUUUGAAAAUUAAUAUAAAAUAAACUGUAACUCGGAUGGGAAAACUUUAUACAUGAAAGUUGCUCAGAACGACGAGACGAAUCCGGAUAUGCAGCCCGUUCGUCCGCCACACAUCCCUAGCAUAGCGAACAUGCAACAAUCUCCCUCCGUUUCAUCUGUCUGAAUAUGUCAAACACCGGGAAUACUUUUCCGGAUGUUUUCCCCCACUUCACAGUAUCACCUAUCCCUGCGUUAGAUCACCCCUGGCACCCUGGCAGCGCGUAUUGCCAUGUUAUGAUUUGUGAUGCUUUGAUUGCUCUGUUAUUUAUUGUGUUCCCCCUCCGUUACUUCUUUCCAGUAGACCUCAAGACUGCUGCUGGUACCCCUGUGAUCGACUACAUCGACGACGAACCCUUCUCUUGCCAGAGCAACCAGGCAAGCCCCCCCCCCUUGAUCACCAGAUAUCGCCUAUUCUUCUUUAUAUUGCUUGCAUUAGAGUAGUGUAGCAUGUUACUGUUCGGUUACUCCUAUUCUGUUGCAUAGCCUGUCAUUGUUGCUACAGUCAUUGAUACCUUACCCGCAAUCCUAAAUGCUUAGUAUAGGAUGCUAGUUUACCUUUAGUGGCCCUACAUUCUUGUUAGUCUGCCAUGCUAUACUAUCGGGCCGUGAUCACUUGGGAGGUGAUCAUGGGUAUAUACUAUACAUACAUACUAUUCAGGUGGUGACUAAAGUCGGGGCAGGUGAUUACGAUGUGGGGGCUGAAAGGACAGGUGGCUCCAUCCUGGUAGAGGUGGGCCUGGGUUCCCGAUGGCCCCCGACUAUUACUAUGUGGCAGAGCGACAGGGCAGGUUGAGACCACCUACGCGAGAAGUGGGCCUGGCCCUGGUCGGCGUUCGUGGUUGCUUCAUAAUAACACGCUUAACGAGAUCUUGGUAUUUGAUCUGAGUCUGGCCACUGGCCUAUACGCACUAACCAACUACGCGGGAAAGAUAUGGGCACUCGACAUCGUGGUAUCAGCCGAAGCCUUCGUGACGUCAGCGACUGAGCGGCGCGCGCCGGGUUGGACUGCGUUAACGCAACUUCCUUUGUGAUGGAGGUUGCUAGGUCUGCUCACCUGCCGCCCUCGCAACGUGCAGGUGUGCAAUGGGCGAUGGGCCCAGACCCCUGCACGCAUAGGAUUUAGACCGGCAUGUUGACCUCUGUGUUGUGCCUAGGUGGGGCUGUGACGUGUUGAUCUUCCGAGUCCGGGCAUGACCCAGAAAUGUGUGUCCAGCCAAAUGGGAUCGAGUGUAUUGGGUUAUGUGGUGCACCCCUGCAGGGAAGUUUAUCUAUUCGAAUAGCCGUGUCCCUCGGUAAAAGGACGACCCGGAGUUGUACCUUGACCUUAUGACAACUAGAAUCGGAUACUUAAUAAAACACAUCCAGACAAGUUCCACAGAUAACCCGGUGAUCACUUUUCCACAGGGCGACGAGGGGAGGAUUGCCGGGUAGGAUUAUGCUAUGCGAUGCUACUUGAAGGACUUCAAUCUACUCUCUUCUACAUGGUGCAAGACGGAGGCUGCCAGAAGCGUAGUCUUCGAUAGGACUAGCUAUCCCCCUCUUAUUCUGGCAUUCUGCAGUUCAGUCCAUCGAUAUUGCCUCUUUACACAUAUAUUCAUGCAUAUGUAGUGUAGAUCCUUGCUUGCGAGUACUUUGGAUGAGUACUCACGGUUGCUUUUCUCCCCCCUUUUCCCCCUUUCCUUUCUACCUGGUUGUUGCAACCAGAUGCUGGAGUCCAGGAGCCAGACGUCACCGUCGACGACGACUACUACAUGGGAGGUGCCUACUACUACGUGCAGGUUGCUGACGACGACCAGGAGUAGUUUAGGGGGAACCCAGGCAGGAGGCCUGCGCCUCUUUCGAUCUGUAUCCCAGUUUGUGCUAGCCAUCUUAUGGCAACUUGUUUAACCUAUGUCUGUACUCAGAUAUUGUUGCUUCCGCUGACUCGUCUAUGAUCGAGCACUUGUAUUCGAGCCCUCGAGGCCCCUGGCUUGUAUUAUGAUGCUUGUAUGACUUAUUUUAUUUUAGAGUUGUAUUGUGAUAUCUUCCGGUGAGUCACAUGAAUAUAGCAUAUACAACUAGCACAUGUACGAGGGAUGAACAAAUCAUACCCUUCCGGUUGACCUAGCCAACACGACGGCGACAUCAGCAGCCUCGAGUUCGUCCGUGUCCUUCUUCUUGGCGGCGGCGUCUUCGACCAUGGUGUCGACGGAGGGAAAGUAGUGGAAGCAGAGGAGGGCGGAGACGGAUCUGGAGCAGUCAUGUUGAGACGCUCCCAAAAAACCUUAUUGCCGUUCUCCCGGGCAGGAUCUCAAACGACAGGGUUACGAGGCACCUGCUCUCCCGACCAACCAUGCACGCGAUCGCUGGAAGCAGCACAGAGAGAGGAACAGUAGAUGGUCCUGGGCCGCAAACAACCCACGGUCCAACAUCUCGGACGGUGGCACUUCCAUAAGCGACUCGUUAAUUAAUCCAUAUGGAUUAAUUAACCAUUCUUGACCGACAAAAAUAAGUCUCGGCUCAUUCAUGCGCCGCGCAUGCGUCAUGACGAGGCGAGGCAGGCGGCGGAGGAGGAGGAGCGCGUAUGUACAUCUCCGUUUUCCAAGCUCACAAUGGCAUGUGGUAGGGCAACCCUUAUAAAGGGGUCUCACUCUUCUUAUAUGGUACUAAACUUCCCACCACUUGCCAUGCACGCCUUUGAGAUUAAUCAGGGAUUAUUGUGUUAUAUGGGCCUAAGCCCAUCUAUAAUCCAACACCUGUAGUGGGAACCAUGACAAAGAUUCACAUUGUGCCGCGCCGAGGAUAGCGUCCAGUCUUGUUGCACUCAAUACUGCAACAAGGGAAAAUGGAGAGAGAGCAGGUUCACGCGGGUCCCAACCCAAAGAAAGAAAAAGCCCAUCCAUCAACCAUCAUCUUCUCCCUCCCGUGACUCUGCUCCCUCCCCCACCCAGUCCUUCCUGCUCCCUCCCUCUAUUCUUCCACUUCACUUCCCCCUCAAUCACUCGCCACCCACCUCCUUCCUGCUCUGCUCUCCUUCCACACCACAUUCCCGUGAGUCUCUCACCGCAGAAGACUGAGUAGAUCUAGGAGGGCGCGAUGGGUUGAGGAGCACUCCCUCGGUGUGGAUGAUUUGCUUGCUUAGUUGAGCAGCGAUUCCUCACCUCCAUCUGGCAGCAAGCAGUAACUUAUAGAGGUAAAUCUGAUUCCUUUCGGUGUGAUUCGUACUGGAGUUUAUUCUACUGGCACUUGAUUCUUCUGUUCGUCCUGCUCAAUAUCUCAUCCUGGUGGAAUUGUUGUCCUGUUUGGGUGCCCUACCAGAUCGUUGGUAGCCAAGCUGCAACUUGUAAAAGCGAUUUUGAUUUCCUUCAGCAGUGUAUUUAGUAUUUGCACGGCAUUGAUGACGGCAGAUGCACUAACCAGUGAACUCCUUUUGAUUCAUGGACGCAGGUGCGGUACUGAGAGAUCUNNNNNNNNNNNNNNNNNNNNNNNNNNNNNNNNNNNNNNNNNNNNNNNNNNNNNNNNNNNNNNNNNNNNNNNNNNNNNNNNNNNNNNNNNNNNNNNNNNNNNNNNNNNNNNNNNNNNNNNNNNNNNNNNNNNNNNNNNNNNNNNNNNNNNNNNNNNNNNNNNNNNNNNNNNNNNNNNNNNNNNNNNNNNNNNNNNNNNNNNNNNNNNNNNNNNNNNNNNNNNNNNNNNNNNNNNNNNNNNNNNNNNNNNNNNNNNNNNNNNNNNNNNNNNNNNNNNNNNNNNNNNNNNNNNNNNNNNNNNNNNNNNNNNNNNNNNNNNNNNNNNNNNNNNNNNNNNNNNNNNNNNNNNNNNNNNNNNNNNCGGCGCGGCACAAUGGGUCGUGGGCAAGGCGCUGGCCCCCCUUGUCGAUGGCGUGCUGGAGGCUUGGAAUGGCAGCAACGAUUUGGGUCUCACCAUCGUUGCUCGGAGUAGGGAGCUCCUUCUUGUAAAGGUCACCCUCGAAACUGCCAGCCGCAAGCAGAUCGGCGGCCAGGCCAUGGAGGAGCUGUUGGGGAAGCUGCGGCACUUGGCGCACUGCGCCGAGGACUUACUGGACGAACUAGACUACUUCCGCAUCCACGACGAGCUCCAUGGCACAUACGAGGCGGCCGACCACCAUGCCAAGGGCGGUGUCCACGACCUUGUCCUCAAUAGUCGUCACACCGUCAAGGCCGUUGGCAAACUGGCAUUUGUAUCCUCACGCUGCUGCUGGUCUGCUACCAGCCCUGCAGGUGAUCAAGUAGAGGAUGCAAGACAACAGGUUAGCUGUUCCGCUUGGCCGCGUGCUAGGAAGAGAUCACACGGCAAUUCCUCCUCAGCGUCAAAUGCCAAUCAGGAGAUCAGCGGAUGCAUGCCCAAGCUCGGUAAACUCCUGCCUUGCUCAUCUUCCCCAGAUGUUCCUGAUGAUAAUCCUGUCCAGUCAACUAUUUUUGGUGCGCCACUGAGAGAGCAUGCGGAAGAGACACCAAUGCAGGAGUUUAACAGGGCUGUUAUCUCAGAGAGAAUGAAGUGCAUUGUAGAGCAACUACAGCCCUUGCGUACAGAGUUCACCACUAUUCUGCAGAGUUGUGGCCAUAACACUGUUCCAGGCAUUACCCAUGGUCGUCCCCUCACCACUGCUCGAAGUAUAGAGCCAAAAUUGUAUGGGAGGGAUCAGAUCGUGAAAAACAUCAUACAUGAUAUAACCAAGGGUAAAUGUCAGAACAAGGAUCUAACUGUGCUUCCGAUUGUCGGUCCGGGUGGGAUAGGGAAAACAGCUCUGAUACAACACAUAUAUCAUCAUAAAGAUGUCCGAAAUCAUUUUCAAGUACUGAUCUGGGUAUGUGUAUCCCUCAGUUUCAAUGUAAGUAAGCUGCUUGAAGAUAUUAAAAAUGAUAUCCCUGAGGUUAAAGAGGAAAAAGGGGGUAAACCGGAUGAGUUGAUUGAACAAAGAUUGAAAUCUAAAAGGUUUUUGCUUGUAUUGGAUGAUAUAUGGGGGAUUAGUACUGAGGAUGAUUGGGAAAAGUUAUUGCUGCCACUCAAAACAUCAGAAGAAAAGGGCAACAUGAUUCUACUCACAACCCGGUUUCCAGCAGUAGCAAAGAUGGUUGGAACAAUUGACCAUUCAAUAAAUUUGGAAGGUUUGGAACCUAACUAUUUUAGGGAGUUAUUCCAUGCAAUUGUCUUUGGUGAUGACCAAUGUAGACAAGAUCACAUUUUUUUGCUUGAGACCGGUGAAAAGAUAAUGGUAAAACUAAAGGGAUCCCCGCUUGCAGCAAAAACUGUUGGUAGAUUACUGAGAAAAGGCCUUAAUUUACGUCAUUGGAGAAAGGUAUUAGAAAGUAAAGAGUGGGAGAGACAGACUGGUGAAAAUGACAUUAUGACUGCCUUGAAGCUUAGCUAUGACUAUCUUCCUUUUGAACAACAACAAUGUUUCUCAUAUUCUGCAUUGUUUCCCGAAGAUUACGGAUAUAGUGCCACCGAGCUAAUCGACUUGUGGAUAGGACUUGGUAUUUUGCAACCUGAUGGUCAGAACCCAACAUUGGAAACUAAAGGUUUGAAUAAUUUAAAUGAUUUGGUCACACAUGGAUUUUUCAGAGAAGACAUUUUUUGUGGUCGUCUGCGUUAUGUAAUGCAUGACCUACUACAUGAUUUAGCAUUGAAGGUUGCAUCAAAUGAAUGUCUUACUAUGCAUCAUUCAACUGUGGGGCCUGUAGAAAUUCAUCCAAGCAUACACCACUUGUCUAUAAUCGUAGAUGGUAAUGAUACAGUGUCUCAUGAAAACUUCAAGAGUCAACUGAGAAAACUGAAGACAAGAUUGAAGGUUAAACAAUUGCAUACUUUGAUGUUAUUUGGAGUUAUGGAUGAAAUCAUGGCCAACAUUUUGGGUGAUUUGUUUAGGGAAGCAAGUGCUCUUCGUGUUCUCUGCUUGGUUAAUAUGUCGCCUUCUGUGGAGUCCAUGUUACAUAAAUUUCCAACACUUAUCCACCUACGAUACCUACGUCUGGGAAAAAGGUACGGGACAGAGAGGCAUUUACCACUUGCCAUUUCUAGAUUUUAUCAUUUGAGGAUUCUGGAUCUAAGAUGGCAGUAUGACUGUCGUGAUUUGCUCAAAGACUUGAGCAACCUUGCAAAAUUGUGUCGUUUUUAUACCCCAACAGAUGAGUUACAUUCUGAUAUUUUUAAUGUGGGAAAACUUAAACUCUUAGAAGAGUUGAAGAAAUUUAGAGUCAAUAAAGAAAGUGAAGGAUUUGAACCAGAGCAACUAGAACAUUUGACCGAACUAAGGGAGCUUGGCAUCUAUAACCUUGAGAAUAUACACACGAAAGAAGAAGCAGCCAAAGCAAAAGUGAUAGAGAAAAACUACUUGGAGAGGUUAACAUUGGAUUGGGAUAGUAACCGGUCUAAUAGUGAGCCUGAUGUGGAAGCAAUGGUUCUUGAGAGCCUUCAACCACAUAAAUAUCUUAAAGAAUUGUGCAUUAGAGGGCACAGAGGCCCUUUUUGUCCAACAUGGUUGGGUGAUGAGCCUGAUGUUGAACUUCUACAAUCUCUUCAUCUCGAUGAUGUUUCAUGGGAAAAUCUUCCUUCUUUCGGGAAGAUGUUGGAUCUUCAUACAUUAAUAUUGAAACAUAUUGCCGCAAUGAAGGAGUUUGUCAUAGAGCGAAGCUUUUCUAGGCUGAUAAGGCUUGAACUUGUUGGCUUGGAAAGUUUUGGAGAAUGGGUACUAUCACAGGAUUCUCAUCAUAUGUUUCCUCUUUUGCAAGAACUGAUUAUAAGGGACUGUCCUAAUCUUUUGGAGCUGCCAUUUUCAAACCACAUUGCUUACCCACCAGAUCAAGACUGGAACAGUGAUUCGUUUGCCAAAUUGCAAGUGCUUGAGAUUCAAAACUGUCCAGAAUUCUUGUUAGUGCAUCGUAUCCCGUGGACUGAAACUUUACAUAGUGUCUUUAUAAUGGAUGUAAAGCUACUACAAGACCUAGAAUAUACAAAGUACGACUCAAAAUCAUCCAAAUUGGUGGUUACUGGGAAGGAUGAACUGCGCAGCUUAGAUCAGGUGUUAGCAUUCAAUAACCUGACAGGGCUCGAGUGUCUGGAACUUGACAAGUGCCCACCUCUAGAGUUGAAGCACAUUGUGAUGUUAAACUCAGUGAAGUAUUUGGAUGUAGUAUCAGGUGAUCUGGUUGGGCUAUUAGGUCGUCAGAAUGAUUUUGAAUGGCAGCUCCCUGUUGAGCAUCUUGUGGUCAAGGACUUACGUGGUGCUAGUGGGAAGCAAUUGACAGAGCUCCUCUGCCACCUCCCAAGGCUCUCCGAAUUGUAUAUCAAAGAGUGUAAAAAUAUAACAAAACUUACAGUGGGGGUGGAUCUGCAACAAACAAUAUCAGCAGCAAAAUCAGAGGUUGAGCAGGAGAAAGAAGAUGAUGGGCUGGUGCUCUUCCCGGCCAAUCUCUCUAACUCACUACAGCUGUUGGCCAUCGGGGGAUGCCCAGAACUGGUCCUGGUGGACCCUUCAAGUUUUAUUCCUGAAAGAGGAGGAGAGUUCCCAGGCCUGCGAUCCCUCGAGAUGUUAGAAAUUAUUCACAACCCCAAGAUACUAUCUGGCGUCUCGUUUUCCUGCUGCUUUUCCCCGUCCUCUCUGCAAGAGCUCCGUCUCGAACAUGUGGAAGACAUGGGGACGCUGGAGCCCCUCUCAGACCUCACAUCUCUCACCCGAUUACAAUUGUCGGAUUGCGGAAAGGAUCUAAGAUGCAAGGGCUUGAGGCCUCUCCUUACCGCCGGGGGACAGCUCACAUCAUUAGAGGUCCGCGGCAGCCCUAGAUUCUUUGCUGGAUGGGAUCCUAAUCAUCCUAGUCAGGUGAUGCAGGACGGAGGAAAAGAGCAGGAGCUGCAGCAACUACAGCUAGUUUCCCCUCCGAGUUCAUCCAAACUGCAGUUUCUCCAUACAGAUGAGGCCAUGGGGCUCCUUGUUGUGCCCAUCUGCAGCUUCCUGUCCUCCUCCCUCACCCACUUGCACCUUGAUGGGAUCUCCCAAGAGAUGGAACGCUUCACCAAGGAGCAAGAGGACGCUCUCCACCUCCUAACCUUCCUCCAGCACCUCCAGUUUUAUGGAUUCAUCAAGCUUCAGAGCCUCCCUUCAGUACUGCACAAGCUUACCAACCUCAAGCUAUUAAGGGUUGUGGUAUGUCCGGCCAUCCGGUCAUUGCCCGAGGAUGGCCUCCCCAAAUCACUCCAAGAAUUAGAUGUAUACGCGUGCCGCAACGAGAAUCUAAAACAGCAGUGCAGGGGGUUAGGGGGAACCAUCCCAAAAAUCAAGCUGUAAGAAUUUGACUGACCCAAGGUACAGCUAACUUGUUUGUUCCCAUCACUUUCCAGAUCCCACCAUUACCCUUGUUUUUUUCCUGCAUUGUAAUCGUCUGACCAGUGUUUGUUUCCAUCUGCUAUGCAGGCCUGUGCCUUGGAGACCCCCUCGUACAUUCUUCUAGUCUUGUAGAGCUCAACUCUCGCCACACAUGCACACUUGCCACAUGGAUGAGGGUCUUUGUGGCCAUCUUCUUCCUUCCUCUACAUAAAUUUGGUAAGUACUCCCUCCGUUCCUAAAUAUAAGUCUUUGUAGAGACAUACUGAUGUAUAUAGACACAUUUUUGAGUGUAGAUUCACUCAUUUUGCUCUGUAUGUAGUCCAUGUUGAAAUCUUUACAAAUGACUUAUAUUUAGGAACGGAGGGAGUACAUUUAAACUAGAACUUUCCUUACUCCGGCUGUACCAUAUCAAUUAUUUAAGAUGUCUUCUCCACUCUCCUUGUCUUCUUACUCUCACUUUGAGAAAGAUAAUUACUUCUGGAAGUUUGCUUGUUUUUUCUUCCUAGAUGAGAAUCAUGCAGUCUGUCAUGUAUUAACAUUUGUUUUGGUUUUCUGUGUAGGUGUUCUUAUGUUCGUUCUCAUAGGUUUCUACGUACUUUUCAACUGCAUUUGGGUUUUCAUUACUCAUCGAAGACUUGGUGGUCUACUUGGCUAGUUCGGGUGUGGAAUUGAAAUAUCACCAUGGCAUAAUUCAGGAAUGAAUUAAUACUUCGGUGCUACACUACAAAUAUAAUGGCCAUCUUCUUCCUUCCUAUUAAUAAAUAUGGCAAGUACAUUGAACUGAAACUUUACUCCUGAUGUACCAUAUAUCAAUUAUAACAACUUCCACUUAUAAUCGUGCUAUAUCAUAUAUCCAUUUUUCUUCCCAAGACAGUGAAAAUGCUUCUCCUACGAAAUCAUAUCUAAUUGUUGUUUUUUCCAUGCGCCUUGUCUUCUUACUCACAAGUAUUAUCGGUUAAUGUCUCUUGAGUGUUCCUUUGUUUUUCAGGAAAUCUGUUUGUAUUCAUCAUUUGUUUUGGUUUUCUGUGCAGUUGUUCUCAUGUUUGUUCCCGUAGCUUCCUACAUAUUUUCUAUGUAAUUUCGGUGGCCGUCACUCAUCAAGAUUCGGUGGUGUACAAACUGUACAUGAUUAGUUCAAGUGUCAAGAUCAAAUAUCACCAUGGAAUGUUGUAGAAUAAAUCAGGCUUCGAUGUUCUGCUCCUGAGGUUUGCCAUUUUCUGACUCACUAAGUACUAUUUAAUGUGGCAAGUGACCUGAUAUUCACUCAUACUGGUACAGAAUUCCCUACUAGACCUUGAAUAUGCACUUUCAGUUAUUUUAUCCUAACAUGUUCUUUGCUUAGCAGGUCUGCUUGUGAUAUGGAUUUUAUAGGAAUCACAUACUCUAUUAUGUUCCAUCUUUAAGAGAUAUCAGGUGUAUUUUCUGUUACAAUUCAGUGAUGAUUUUUUUAGGAUCCUGAUAUUUUGAAUAAAUAUAAUCAAAUUAUGCUCUUUCUUGAAAAUAAGAAUGAAGGUAUGCUCUUGUGAGAGCUCGAACCAUACAUACAAUAGUCACCAACAGACUUACGAAGCUGCACAAAUGUCAACAUAAUAUGGCAUCAUAUGAUUUUUAUUUAUUUUCACAUAUUAAUUAUCAUGUUAUGCUUCGCAGGUCUUAUAAAUAUUCUCUUUUGGUAAAAAUCACCAUGCAGUCCUAGACAUGAUUUGCAUUUCAGGUGAUGAGGAAGUUACCGUUAUUGCUUAGUAAUAAGGUACUGAACUGACCAGAACUCCAAAACAGUCUACUCUACAUACUUAUUUUUCAGUUUUGGGCUACAACAGUUUUCAGUGUUCACUGUUUUUAAUCCUUCCUAUUUUAAAUAGACAUAUAAUGUCGGAAGUUCACGCCAGUUACGUUUUCAUACUUAAGCAUGUAGGUCAUCCGUUCGGCCACAUGAGAAUGGUACCACCCAGUGGAUGCAACUUCCUCUGUUCAGAUAUCAGGCUAUCACCAAAAGGUAUGUCCAGCAUGUUUCUCCCUAUGCAUAUGUAUGGAAGGUCGUUGUGUAGCUGUAUGGUGUUUCUGCAGGAAUAUGUACUCACUUAUGGUUCCGAAGUUUCAGAUUCAACAAAGAUUCUUCUUUUGCUUGAUAAUUGUGGCCGGAUGCAACUUCAGAACUACACAACGCAGCAGUAGAGUGAAGGUAUGCCUCCUUUAUGUGCUAAAAUAGUGAAUUGUUCAAGUUAUAGUGGAAGUAAUAUGUUGCUUGCAAUUUUCAGAACCUAUUAAUAAUCAGAACUAGCUUACUAUGUUGACCAGUGCAUCUCGAUACAAAUUACAUGGAAAUUACCUUUGUUAAGUUUGCCACUGUUCUUUCAUCAAUAUAGUAAACACCGUUGGAAAAAUAAAAUUUGUUACCCAAUCCUGGGCAGUAUCUCAAGAUCUCGAGCAUUAUUUUUGUAAUCUUUAUAACGAUCUCAGCUAUUGCCCUGUCAACACUUAACCAGGAUGUCACCUGUGCCAAGAAUUUAGUUGCUCCAUGGUUGCUUAUACGCGGAUAUUACGUGACCAGUGACUGAUCAGUGAGUCCCUCACUCUUAUUGCCCCUUUCCCCACUUCAAUUAGUUACGUUGCUAUUAGUAGAGCUAAUCAAUGCCAGUUAUGGUGUUACUUCAGUUUUGUUGAUCAAUCUCCUUGGAAGCAAAAGGCUGGAAUUGGCAAGAAAAUGUGGUUGGUUCAGGUAGUCUUCUGACACUGCAACAGCCACACGGUUAUGAACUGCAGGGUGCACACUCGUGAGUAUACUUGGAUCUUGAUGUUUCUCUGAAUUUCCCGACCUUGUGUGAUAUUAUCCUUAAUGACUUGUUCACCAUUAUGUUAUCCCUAGGGCCUAGGCUGCGGUGAUCGAAACCAUCUUGAGCUUACACUGGUCAACUCAUCGGUCAGAAUUUGCCGCGGCGAUUAUCUAAUCAGGCUAACCCUUUUUGCCUUCACAUGGUGUGUGGUAUACAUACUAUGAUGCACUUUUCUGUUUGUAUGGUAUCUUCCCCGGGCGGAAUUGUGGCAAGGCAAGUACUUGGAGUUUUUGGUUGGCCCCUUUGCCAGCACAUGUGGAAGCUACUCGCAAAAUGGCCAACGCUUCCUUGACAACCAGAGAAGUCCUGCUUGAAGUUGGCCAAUGGUCUUCAGCGUCAGUACCGGAGAAAUUACUUACCAUGCCUCUCCAUCUUUGAAGAAUUCCAGACCUUCCAUCACCGGUGCACUUAACUAACAAUGGUCAACGCGCGGCCGCCCUAGUAUCCCUUGCCGGAUGUCUGCCGUCUGCUAGCCGGCGCACUGUACCGAAGAAAUAUAGGAAUGAAAUUACAAGAGCAUUAAUUCUGAAUCCCCACACCCCCAAGUGUACCAGCCCAUGAUGGCCCGCCCAUGUAGACGAGUCGUAUCAUGUUCACAGCCCAGCAACUGAAUUGCUGUAUUGGAUGCCAUAUUGACGCCCCUAAAAAAAUUCCCUAUUGACCGGAAAAUCCCUUGUGCAUGGAUCUCGGCACCAUAGCCCACGCUCAGGAUAACGGGCUACCUGUCGCCCGAGCACCAAAACGCCGCUCUCGAUCAUUAGCCACUAAACUAUAUAAUAACCCCUAAAAAAACUAAACUAUAUAAUAACAGUAUUGUACACCAUUUCAUCUUUCUUACUGAAUAAAUUAAAUAAAACCACAGUGUAUAGCCAUACGAAAGAAUUCAGUUCUAUUGAUCUAAAACCAGAUCCAUCCAAGGUCACACAGCUGGUAAUUUCCGCUAUACCUAUUCAGACUACAAUGUACACUAGUUGACAUAAUUUUUGAAAUAUGUUUGUGACAUAUAUAGCAUUUUUUAAAUGUUUGUAACACUUAAAAAAUGUUCACAAAUUGAAAAAUACAUGAAAAAAUAAAAAAUUGUUUGCGCAAUUUAAAAAUAAUGUUAAUAACAUGUACCCUAAAUGGGAGGAUAAUUUUUUUAUGAAUUUGAAAAAGAAGAAAAAUAGAAGAAUAAAUAAAUAAAUAAAACGAAAAACACAUGAAAAAGGAAAACGAAAAGCCCGGCCAGAACCUUCCCAAAACCAACGGAAGGUUCCCAAAACCGGGAGCAACUAAUUAACGAGCGCUCCUUCGGGAGCCUCGCAACGAUCAGCGCCAUGUGUCACGCUCUGGGAGCUCCCUCCGGAUUUUUUUUAUUUUUCCGCACGCGUUUUUGGCUUUUUAAACGGUUUUUUUUGGGUUUUUUCAACGUUGUGGUUUUCCACCGGUCUUCCCUAGCUUUUAGACCCAAAUUUUUUUUGAAAAAAAAAUUGCGCAAAAAAACCCUUUUUUUUCGCAAGAGUCACGGUUUUGUUUCCGCGAGAGGCACGGCCAUGCCUCUUGGAAACGGAAAAAAAAACGCGUUUUCGGUUUUUUUCCUUUUGCGAGAGGCACGGUUGUUCUUUCGCGAGAGUCACGGCCGUGCCUCUUGGAAACGAAAAAAAACACUUUUUCUGUUUUUUUCUUUCGCGAGAGGCACGGUUUUGCUUCCGCGAGAGUCACGGCCGUGCCUCUUGGAAACGAAAAAAACACUUUUUCUAUUUUUUUUCUUUCGCGAGAGGCACGGUUUUGCUUUCGCGAGAGGCACGGUUGUGGUUUCGCAAGAGUCACGGCCGUGCCUCCUUGGAAACGAAAAAAAACGCAUUUUUUAUUUUUUUUCUUUCGGGAGAGGCACGGUUUUGCUUCCGGGAGAGGCACGGUUGUGAUAUCGUCAGAGGCACGGGUGUGCCUCUUUCGGAAAGGGAAAAAACCCGUGCUCCCGGUUUGGUUUUUUCGUCCGGUUUUUUUCGUGAAAAAAAAGUUCGUCAAAAUCUAUCAACAUGGGAUCAGUUUUGAAGAUCUCGAUGCGAGGAAUCCAACGGCGAAAGGGGUUCGAGAUUUGAGCGCACGGUUUAAAAGAUAAAACGUUUUGAAUAAACGGAUUUACGAAAAAAGGAAAAACUCGCAGGUUGCGACAAGUGGUGCACAUGCAGCGCGCCACUUGUCGCAACCUGGGGAAGUUCGAGUGAUCUUCGCAAGGAGUACUCCUUAAUUAGUGAUUUCGCCCAAAACCAGUUCGCACUUGUACCUGUCUUUUUUUGCGGGGGAAAGCAUAUCAUUUAAUCAACCAGGGCCUUACAAUCGUUUGAAAUAAUAAUACUAACCUCCUUUGGGGAGUUUGCUAACCAACAAGCAGUGCGUUGGUGACUACGACCUAGAGGACCUAGAGCUGCCAUAGCAUGAGCAGCAUUAUUUUGUGAUCUACAAAUUUUCCGAAAAUGUACAGGUCGUUCCUUCGUCAUCUCAGCGAUCUCAGUCACAUGAUACAUGUUACUAGAGCGCACUUGUACCUGGGGAUGGCUCUAGGGUUAGGUAACCCUGGCGACACCAUGGCGGCGGCUGCGCCGCCGCCCCCGUCCGGCGUGGCAUCGGCCCCUGCCGGCUGCCGUCCCAUGUGCAGACGACAUCUGCCCUAUGGACACCUUGCGGCCCCGUCCGCGCGCUUGCCGUCGGGACUCCCUGAUCGGCUCGGUCCGCAGCUCUCAUCUAUGAUAGAGUUUGGCGGCUGCACAACCCUAAACCCGUUUGCUAAGGAAACGCAUCGGAGCAACACCGCAUAUACAGCCAGAUUGAAGGCAAGGUUCGCAGUUUUCCUCAAGGUCAGGAAGCCACCGGAUCGCACCACUCCAACAGGCAGGUCACCGGACAAACUAGCUCCACGCGUUGCGAUGUCGCCGGCUGUGUCCCCCUUUGCGAUCCUGCCGGCUGCAACCAUGGAGAAACCGGAAGGCGGUGGGGGCGAUUAUGGGGCUCCCCUAGUGGACGCUACCCGCCCGAAGCCGUCUGAUGGUGGAACCGGGGUUGCCCUGGUAGGUAGUGCAUGCGCGCCGGUCGCCGUGGCGGUGUACAGGGGCCUCAGUUUCGCCUCUGAUGCAGACUCUACCCUCAGUAGGAGCAGCCGUAGAGAAGGCCGGCAAGGUGUUCACAAAGCCAAUACAGCUUACCAGGAGAUGCGUGGACUUGGCAGUCCAGCUACUGUUCGACGCAGGGGGCAUUCAUUGCUGUUCAACCUGAGUUCAUGGACUUGGCUAACAGAGAUGCUACAGCAGAUUAGUACUACCAAUGUGGCAAGUGCAGCUGCAACACAGGUGCAGGAGGCGUUCGUUGCUAUCCAACUUGAGUCAUAUGCAGCGGGCCAACAAUGGCACAACUCACUUGUCCCCUGGAGGUCCAAUAUGAUCCUGGCCUUGCAAUACCUCUUGUCGAACGCCCGCGCUGCAGAUGCAGAGAUGUCUGAGGACACAUCCACUCUUGAUAAACACAACACUAGUGAGCUUCUGGAUGUUGGUUGUCAGGAUACUCUGGGCACUGCUUUGGUAGUGCACGCCAAGGUGAGCGUGAAGGAUAGACCCGAGGGGACACCAGAGAAGCAGAGGCUAGGUGUGAUGGGAGGUUGUGUGCCGUCUGUCGCUUUGGAGAAGGAGAGGGAUGAUACCAUGGAGGCAACCGGCUUUGGGGCCGCCGGUCAACUGACGGGGCCAUCAGUGGCGCCCCGUCAGGAGCAAUGAGUACCUUAAGUUGGAACUGCCGAGGGGGAGGGAACUCUCGGACAGUUCGGGAUCUCGUGAGUUUGGUGCAAACUCAUUCCCCUUGUAUUGUCUUUUUAUGCGAAACUAGCCAGUCAAAAGAAAAAAUGAAAAGAUAUCGCCCUCGAUUAGGCUUGAGUGGUUUCGAGGCAGUUGAUAGCAAUGGUCUUAGUGGAGGUCUCGCACUAUAUUGGCACGAGUCUGUGCAAGUUGAUAUAAAAGAUAUGAAUGAACGAUACAUUGAUGCGUAUGUGACUUCUGUAGCAGGUGAGCCACCUUGGAGGCUCACUUGCGUCUACGGCGAGCCCCGGACGGAGCACCGACACCACAUGUGGUCGCUCCUUCGGGUAGACAUGCCAUGGGCGGUGAUUGGCGACUUCAACGAGGCCAUGUGGGGCUUCGAGCACUUCUCUGAUACUCCUCGCCCGACAGGUCAAAUGAUUGAUUUUCGUGAUGUAUUGGAAUUAUGUGGACUAGGUGAUCUUGGUUUUUCAGGACUGCCGUACACAUAUGAUAACCGGCGGUCCGGACGAGCAAAUGUCAAGGUGCGGCUGGACCGGGCAGUGGCAAAUAAUCUGUGGCGUGAUUUAUUCAUGGAGGCGAAAGUCCAACACUUGGUAGCACCAACCUCUGACCAUGCCCCGAUCCUCCUUCAGUGGGUUCCUGAACCGCCUAGGGAGAAGGCGGGCAGGAGGUGCCGCCACUAUGAGGUGGCGUGGGAACGUGACCACGCACUGCCGGAGGUGAUCCUACAGGCUUGGACAGCGGCUGGUAGUAUGGGGGACCUGGGCAACGUUGCGGCGGCCCUAGGGGAGCUCAUGCAUGCGUUGCAAGGGUGGAGUAAGAAAAUUUUUGGUAACGUGAUAAAAGAGAUUAAUAAAUCCCGUAACCGCCUUGAGGAACUAAUGGCUAUGAAUGCAGAUCAAAGAACCAUCAGGGAAGCUAGAGACCGCCUGAAUGAAUUACUCUAUAGGGAGGAAAUGAUUUGGAUGCAACGGUCUCGUAUUGACUGGCUACGAGAAGGCGACCGGAACACUAAUUUUUUUCAUCGUAAGGCGGUUUGGCGGGCACGGAAAAAUCGUAUUAAAUCUCUUGUUGAUGAGUCUGGGGAAGUACAGAAGGAGAGCACCAAGAUGGCUGAUAUGGUCACUGAGUAUUUUACCAAGCUUUUUACUGCUGAUCCAUCCCUUUGUGCAGACCCAAUAAUUAAUCUUCUUGGCACCCGUGUUACCAAUGGUAUGAAUGACAAACUAUGUGCAGAGUUCUCUGAUAAGGAGAUUGCAGAUGCGCUUUUUCAGAUUGGUCCUUUGAAAGCGCCAGGGCCGGACGGCUUCCCAGCCCGUGUGUUCCAGAAAAACUGGUUGGUCAUGAAGGCCCAAGUCACUGCCGCUGUAAAGGAGUUUUUCCGGUCAGGGAUUAUGCCAGAGGGGGUGAACGACACUGCCAUUGUUCUCAUCCCAAAAAUUGAUAAUCCGGUAAAGCUUACUGAGUUUAGGCCUAUAAGUUUAUGCAAUGUUAUUUAUAAAGUGGUGUCGAAGUGCCUAGUGAACAGGCUAAGACCUAUGUUGGAGGACAUCAUAUCACCAGAACAGAGCGCCUUCGUUCCAGGUAGACUGAUUACAGAUAAUGUUCUCGUUGCAUUUGAGUGCAUUCACCAUAUUCAGCAGGAGAAAGACCCAGCGAAAAGCUUCUGUGCCUAUAAGCUGGAUCUGUAUAAAGCUUAUGACAGGGUUGACUGGGGGUUCUUGAGGCGGACGAUGCAAAAUUUGGGUUUCGCUGACCGAUGGGUGAACUAGAUUAUGACUUGUGUCACCUCGGUUAGAUACACUAUCAAAUUUAAUGGCACCCUCUUGGAUUCGUUCGCACCGUCGCGCGGGCUACGGCAAGGUGAUCCCCUUUCACCAUUUUUGUUCCUGUUUAUUGCUGAUGGGUUAUCUGCUUUGUUAAAGGAUGGAGAGGAAAAGAGAAAAUUCUCAUCCCUGAAGGUAUGCAGAAGAGCUCCAGGAAUAUCUCACUUGCUGUUCGCGGACGACACCUUGCUCUUCUUCAAGGCCGACCCACAAGAAGCGGAGAAUAUCCGCAAUAUUAUUUUGGCUUAUGAAGGGGCCACGGGGCAGCUAAUUAAUCCGGCAAAAUGCAGCAUUUUGUUUGGGAAGCAUUGUCCUGAGAUCUAUAAGGAAAAUGUGCGUAUGACUCUACAGGUUCAGCUCACCACUUUUGAAGAAAAGUAUUUGGGGUUGCCGACGCCUGAAGGUAGGAUGUCCAAGGGUAAAUUCCAAAACCUACAAGCCCGCUUAAUGAAAAGGAUUAUUGCUUGGGGAGAUACGCUUUCUCUCGCAGGGAAGGAAACAAUGAUCAAAGCUGUUCUUCAAGCUAUUCCCACUUAUAUGAUGGGGAUCUUCAAGUUGCUCAUGUCCGUAUGUGAUGACCUGAACAGAAUGGUUAGAAAUUUCUGGUGGGGUUAGAAGGAGGGUAAGCGGAAAACACACUGGAUGGCUUGGCCAGAGAUCCAAAGGCAUAAACAGUGCGGUGGUCUGGGAUUCCGUGACUUCAGGGUGUUUAAUCAGGCCCUGCUAGCGAGGCAGGCUUGGCGUCUUCUAAUUAAACCCAAUAGUCUUUGUGCGCAGGUGUUAAAGGCUCGCUAUUACCCCGACGUACGGCUAGAGGACACAGUGUUCUCUGGGAACUCAUCUGUUACAUGGCAAGUGAUCCAACACGGCCUCGAACUCCUCAAAAAGGGGCUGGUGUGGCGGGCCGGCAGUGGGACACAAAUUCGCAUUUGGCGGGAUCGAUGGCUGCCUCGGUCACCCUCAGGCCAGCUCAUUACCUCGCAAGGCACGUGUAGACUCCGAAGGGUCUCGGACCUGCUGGAUGCGAGAGGUGCUUGGAGGCUGGACCUUCUUUGUCGUCACUUCCUGCCAGUCGACAUCGACAUCAUCACGAGCAUCAAGACCUCUCCACGCGCCACGGAGGAUGUCCUAGCUUGAACUCUGGAGAAAUGUGGUGUCUUCUCCGUUCGGUCAGCCUACCGCUUUUCCAUGGACGAGCGCGAGCGUCCAUCGGCAAGCGCCUCGAGCAGGGCACCGGAUGGUCGUCGCGCCAUCUGGAAGACCAUAUGGGGGUGCCCUGCUCCCCCAAAGGUACGAGUGUUUGCAUGGCGGCUGGUCUCAAACUCCCUUGCUACUUGGGCUAAUAAAUUUUCUAGAACUUUGGAGCCUAAUGAUAUGUGUCCACUUUGUGGUGUGGAACGCGAGGAUGUCUUCCAUGCUAUGUGCAGAUGUCCACGGGCAAAGGACCUAUGGAGCGCGAUGGCGAAGGACUGGAUUCUUCCGGACAUCAGUUUGAUCCAGAACACGGGGCCGGAGUGGUUAUUCGGUGUUCUGGAGCCCCUCUCGGAUACUUCUCGCAUGGUGGCCCUAAUGAUAUUCUGGAGAUCAUGGCACGUUCGUAAUGAGAUCAUUCAUGACAAGGAACCGCCCCCCACAGAAGUUUCCUGCAGAUUCUUGCAUAGCUAUAUUUCUUCGCUUCUCUGUAUUCAGCAGCACCCAAUGGGAGACGUUGUAAAAGGCAAAAUGGUGCUCACAGACCCGGCAUGCCUAGCUGGUGUAGUUGCUGCACCGGCGCCGAGCACGAGAGGCGCAGACCCGCGACCAACAGAGAAGUGGGAGCCUCCCCCUGCUGGAUGGCUAAAGCUAAACGUCGACGGUGCCUUCUCCGAGCAUGCGGGUAAUGGUGGAGCUGGUAUGGUCCUGAGGAACAGGGACGGCAACAUUAUCUUCACUUCAUGCAGACACUUGUUUGCAUGUGAUAAUGCACUACGAGCUGAGUUGGAGGCGUGCAAAGAGGGAAUUUCUCUUGCGCUGGAAUGGAGUUCGUUGCCUUUUAUCAUUGAAACGGACAGCUCAGUGGCUGCAAGGAUGAUCAGCCAAGCUGCUGUUGAUCGAUCUAAGGAUGCUGCACUAGUCCAGGAGAUCAAAAUGCUAACCAGGGGUGAUAGGAGGGUCCAGGUGAAGGCUAUUAAACGUGAGAGGAAUCAGGUUAGUCACGAGCUUGCUCGUAUAGCUCGUACAGACAUAAAAACUGCAGUUUGGCUGGGUUCUGGCCUUGAAGGGAUUGUAAAUCUUUAUGUACUGGAUCAGCUUGAUUCAGGUUGAUUGGUACAAAUCCUUUUCCCCCGCAAAAAACAAAGAAAAAAAGAGCGCACUUGUACCUGUCUAGCUGGUAGCUUCCGAAAACCGCUCGCACACAAUCGCUGUUUGGCCGGCCUAGUCGCGGCGAGCGCUGGAUCGGUCUCGCAGUAAGCGAGACAUAGUAAUUAUGGCUCGAGUUCGUUCUUUUUUCUGCAGACUGGUCCGAUCAGUCACAUGGCUGGUAGAAGGAGAGAAGAAAUGGUCAUAAAUGAACCCCAAUCAAUCAACGAGUAAGCGUACGUGUAAAUUCCAUGGAGACGAGAGGAAGUAAAAUGAAUCACAUGGAAGAUGCAUGGAGUUCCAUAAACACAGCAGAGCACCCACCCAAGAAAGACCCAACCCAAACUUAUGUAUGUCAUACAGUGACACGCCAACAGUCCUGUUUGCAUGCUGCUGCAAACUACCUAAAACAUCACCCACCCGAACUACUAUGUUUUUCAAUCACAUGGAAGAUGUAUGCACUUCCACACACAACACCGACUCAACCGAAACUAUGUAAUGAAUAUCAUAAUCAAAAGGCAGAUCCUUCUUAAACUCCAAACUCACACUAAAUUCUCAGGCAUGCAGGUUCCACUUCAUCCAUUCAUUCAUAUAUGAAGUGAUUUGACCUCACUCACAUAUUUAGCGAAGUUAAUUAGUUUUUCUAAAUCGCCAGCAUCACAUCUCUUGCAGCAAGUUCACACGAGAUUGGGGUUUUUUGACCUCCUGCCGGCUCCGCCGCCGGUCCGCCUCGUCUCCGGUGACCUUAGGGCCAUGCAGGCAGGAGGGUUGAUGUUCCGCUUUUAGGCGUUUCUUUGAGAUUGGUUAGGGUGUGUGUCCUAGUCAGAAAGGCGUGGCGGCGGUGGCGGCUCCCUGAAGAUGGAAUAAUAUACUCUCUCCGCCUAGGCCCCGUGCCGAUGAUGCAACUAGCGUUCCAUAAAGCAUGAUGCUGCGAGGGUGAGACUUGUCCUUUUUCCGGCGGCCUCGGUCAUGGCUUCUUUGUUCUAAACUUCGGUAUUAACUGAUAAAAAUGGCAACGCAUAGCACCUGUACAAGGUGGAGCAUUGGGAGGAGCUUUUUUUUUUUUGAUGUGGCAAGUUAUUUAAAAGGAGAGAGAUGAAUGUGGUGAUCCCAGGAAGAAACAAUGCUAAGCGUGUGAACCUAGGCAAAACUUUUAAAGGAAGGAAGCCCAUCAAUACAUGAAGAGCUUUAGUUGCUAAAUCAUUAAAUGAAGCAAGCUUAGCAACCAUAAGCUAAGAACCUAUACAUUGAAGAGUAUAGCUACUAAGCUAUUUAAUGUGCUUAGCACCUCAUCUAAGCAUUCAUGCAUUGGCAGCAGCCUAAGUGGAUAGAGUAGGAUGCUCCUCUUACUACGAAGUUUGUACUACUACUACCACUAUACAACUAGGUACAUGCACGGCACAACAUCGUAGGAACAAAAAAAAGAAAAAAAUUUGUUUUGGGUGAUUUAUCUUUUUUUUCAGUCAACGUAGUAUGAAUAAUAUGAUGCGGAGAGCACCCAUGAAGUCACGUGACACGUCUGGAGGUCUUAUUGAGAGCUUCUUGUGUGGAUCGAUCACACUGUCGUGUUGCCGUUCGAGAAGAGCGUGUAUGGGUACAAUUGGGUUAUAGUAUUAGAUCUGAAUCGCAGCCACCUGGACCAUUGGAUCAACAUCAAUCAACGGUUUAUAUCGUGUGCAAAUACACGCAUUGGCUGCAUAAAAAUAAUGGAUAUAGAAUAUAUAAUACAUAAUACACAAUACCGCAUAUUGGGUUUCUCUAAAGUCAAAUGUUGUAUAUUCUCAACAAGUUUGUAGGAAAAUGUAUUAACAUAUACACCACCAAAUAUAUAUCAUUUGAUUCAUCAUUGCUUUUAUUUCCACAUCAUGUAAAUUAGUUAGUAUAAAUGUUCAUAUUGUUUUCACCAAAUUUGGUCAAGCUUUAUAAAAAUUUGGCUGCAGUCAAAGCUACAUGCGGAGUAAAUUACAAAUGGAGGGAGUGGAAUAGAUAUAGAUAUAACUACACAAAUAAAAAACACAGUUUAGUAAUAUAGUCUAUAGAUAUAGAUAAGGCUACUAUCUUUUUUUCUAGAUUAGAACUCGCGUUGUUGUGUACACAUUGUUUUGCCGCUAUAAUUUGGAUUUGCGGGGUGUGUAGGACUACUGUCUUGUUCAGAUCCUAUAAUCCACCAUUAUCCAUAAUUAAUUAAUAUUGGUAAUUAAGAUUGUGUUAUCUUAGUUCUAGCCGGUUCUUCAGUUGCUUGGAGGAACUCCAUCUCGUUAUUCAGGUUGAUUUUGUGCAUACGACAAGAUCAUCGACCAUCGAAGAUUGGUUUAGUAACGAUUGUCGAUUUGUAUAUAUCACCGGGUACGAUAUAGCUGGAUCGUCAACAUCAAAUCUAGCAAAUCGAUACUUAUCCCACUCUGAUUGAAAGAUUGGGUCACCAUCAUAAGACUACCACCUAGAAAAUUCAUUCCCUAUAACAUACACAUGAGUACCCAUCUCAUUAUCCAGGUCCAUUCCUCCCUCUCUUUCUCGAAACACACACACCUCUCCACACGAUGCGUGUCUCUUGGUCUCUCCCUCAUCCCAUGAAAAAGGGCACACCGCCAUUCUCUUCUUCUUGCUAUCCCCAUCUAGGUAGUUAGAUAUCCCUGCAACAAACAAAAAUUCAUCUCUCUCUUGACUAUCUCUUUCUACCACACAUAACCUUAGACCCCCUAGCUAGUUGUGCUGUCGAGGUCUAUCUAGCUCUCUCACAAGUAAAAAGACGUUGUCUGUGUCCCUUCAUCGCACACACACUAUCGCUCUCCCAUAUCCCCAACCUCGUAACCUUGUCGAUCCCGACGUCACACGCACCUCUCUCUCUCUCUCUCUCUCUCUCUCUCUCUCUCUCUCUCUCUCUCUCUCUCUCUCUAACACAAACACGCACACACCCUCUCUCUCCCUUUCGUACACUCCUCUCUCUACCACACACACAGUCUUUCGAACACGCAUAUGCCCCUCUCUCGUUAGAUAUCGUUGUCCCCGCCCCCCUCUUUGUCACACAAAUAUUCUCUCUAUAUCUAUCUUUCGCAAUAACACAUGCAUGGUCUAAAUUGAAAUCAACUACAAAAAUGAGCUCUGGUUACAAAAAUCAAAUCCACUCCCAAAAACAAGAUGAAAAUAGGGUGAAAUCGUGCACACAAAUGUUUGUUGCGUGCAUGAAUGUCCAUGAUAUGGAUGUACUACUCUUUUUUUUGGAUUAUAUGGAUGUACUACUCGUACAUCCACACAGACCUAUUUUACACAAAUUAUGGUGCGCAUGUGAUGUUUGUUGUACUACUCCUGCCAGCCUUCCUCCGACAUGUUCCAACAUAUUGUGCUACUUGAGAUUCUACUUUUUUUUCUCAGACCAUGUGAAACCAUGAAAAGGUCAACCCCCGCCCUCACCAGUAUUGUAGCUCGAAGCUCCCAUACGGACACAACACCCACCGGAGUACGCAGCCGUUGCCGAAGCGUACGGCGCCACGGCCUUGGAAGAGGACGGAGUCUCCGACAUUGCCGAGGUGGAACACGCCCUCGACGGCCGCGAGUAGCGUGCGCUGACUAGCCAUGCGGAGAACAGUGUGAUCUAGCGGCUCGUGCUCAUCGGCCACGAGGGGUAGCUAUGCUCCAGCAGCAUGCCCUGGUCGGUCAUAAGGAGUGCAUCGCGUCCUUGCUGCUCAUAAUGUGGACGAGCGCGUUCUCCAGCGCAUGCUCGCGAGCAUCGCAUCCUCGCCGCUCUCGACGUGGACGAGAGCACGCCCGCGAACAUCGCAUCUUCGCCGCUCCUGACGUGGACAAGCGCUCAGGCGCACGAGUGUGUGCUCCAACAGCACGACCGCAAGUAUGACAUCCUCACAGCUCACGAGGUGGUUGAGCACGUGCUCCAGAUAGUAUCCAAGGAGUCGGGACGCGAGCACCGCGCCCCUGGCUACGAGGAGUGUUGCAUGGUGCCCAUCGCGGUUUAGGAAAAUCCCGUGACUCUGCCCCUCAGGAGCGCGAGCUCUAGUGGGCACUCGAGGAGUCCCACGCCGAUAUGUAGGUGCCGGCGGACGUGCAAGAUUAUCCUUCGAGCUCUCCUCCUCCUAUGAAGACAUCUCCACCGUCCCCGUCGUACGUCCUCUGCCUCGGCUCCGGUGGACCUUUGGAGUUUAGUUGUAUGGAACAUUAAUAUUUGGAUUAAUUAUACAUCUACCAAAAUGUGAAGGAUCAAGAGUAAUGCAGAAAAUAACAUAUGACUAACAUGAAUAGAUGAUGUGGCGGCAUUGCAUGCUGAAGAGUAACGCAAGUAUAUUACAAUUUAUGGAUUGCAUGCAUGACUAGCUUAUGUGACAUGGUUGCAUGGCUAGGAAAGGCUAGGGAAAAAUAAAUAUAUAAUGUGUUUAGAGUGCACUUCACUAAAUGGGAGCACGUAAAUAUCAUAUCUUUAGAGUGCACUCCACUUUUUUGGACGCUUAGGUGCACCGGAUGCCGUGCCACACUAUAAAAUGUUAGGAAAAAAAUCUGCUCCAAUGUUUAAAAAAAUCUAUUAUUAUCUUGAAACCAGCCACACCCGUCCUCAUCUCAUCAAAACAGCCUGAGGAAUAUGUCUUGGGUGAAGCAUAGUUUUUUUACUGAUAUAUGAAUAUCAAAACUAGAGUGUUUAUAUUUCAAAUUUGUGAACAAGUAUUAUUCUACUACUUUGGAUCCAUUGCAACGCACGGGCCGGCACAUUGGUAGUACCGUAGUAGUAAUAAGAAAUGAUUUUCGAGUUUGACACGAGUUCAUACAGCGGGAGCACCACAAGGCCUGACGCAGGAGUUACAUUUCCCUCUCGGGGCCCACGGGACUGAGCUUCAGCGGCUUACUGCACCUGCCUUUGUGUCAAUGACAUGUGGACCCUAUAUGUGGAUGGCCCACAUGUCAUUCUCACAAAAGGCAGAGGGGCGGUGGAACCGAGAGGGGUGAGGCGCAGGUCGGGGGACGUGUGGAGUCAUGGGUUCGAGCGGCGUCAUGGGAAUCGUGUGUGGUUGUGGUAAAAACUUGAUGGUCGACGCAGUUCAGCUGGCCCACAUGUCAUGCACAUAAAGGCAGAGGUGUGGUGGGGCCGAGAGGGGUGAGGCGCACGUCGGGGGACGUGGUGUAGUGGGUUGGAGCGGCGUCGUGGGAAUCGCGUGUGGCAGUGGUAGAAACGUGAUGGUCGCCGUAGUUCAACUUUCAUGGACAAGUUGCCAUGUCUACUAACACAUGCAUUGCAUACCAAUCACUGCAAGGAGUAGUAGAGAAAACUAGGCGGGUAAAUAGUUCAUUAUAGUCAAGCGAACCUACACUACUACACUUGUUCCAAAGACAUCCACACCAGCGGAAUAGUUCAUCUAUAUCAAUGUGCAUAGAGAAAAAAAAAUAUUUUUUACAAGAGAGGAAAUAGUUCAUCCAUCUAUAAUGCCCUGCUGCUGGUGCAACUUCUUCUUCUUCUUCUCAUUUUCUGUGGGAGACGGCUUCACAACAAGCUCUUUCAAACUUGCAGCUAUCUCGAAACUCACGCAGGCAUCAAGGACAGCAUAUUUUAUCCGCUCAUAGGUCAAGGGACAGAAUUUGCUACGUCGAAUAGGGAUGGUGUUUCUUUAUCACAAUCGUCUACAUGAAUUUUGGUUUGUAGGCCAGCGAUGUUUUCCAAGUCAAGGUUGUACGGCUCCAGCUUCUGUGUGUCCCCUUCGAUAGCUGCCCCCCAGAAGUAUAUGUCCUCCUGAGACAUGAAAUCAUGGAGCUCACCUGAUAGGGAGGGCGCAUGUAUGAUGUGAUACACCAAAACUUCAUCUUCGAGGCACAGCUGAAGGACGACGCGUGUUGGAUCUUCCCAGUGGCACGCUCCAUGCACUCUGCGCUGAGACAGAUGACCUUCAUGUCCACCUUUUCGAGGGAGUUGGAUACACUGUUGAUCCACUCCCGAACAACCCUUGGGUGGUCGGUGACGGUGGCAACUAUGCUCAAUGAGCCUUCGACGAGGACAUGUUUGACGCUAAAAACCUGCAUAGGGAUCUCUUUCACCAUUUGUAACCGCUGGACCGGAGGGCUAUGGUUUGGAGCAGGAUUAAGAUGGCUAGUCUAACUGAAGAAUAUGAUUAUUUAAAGGGGCUCCGGAAUUACUCCAGGAGUAUCUGAAGAGGUUAAAGCAAUGUGAAUCCAGUGGGGUUUGAAUGCAAAUUAAGGAGAGGUGAAGAAGCCGAGGAAAAUUGAUUCCCGAUGAAGAAGUAAAUGCGAGAAGUGGCAUGCAAGCAGUUGAUUAGACGGCUAGGUAGACCAACCUGCAAAACAAAAAGGCUAUGCGGGCAGCAUACUGAGAAGUGGUACAUGUCCGUGUACGUGUUCAUCCUUCUAUCGCUACAUGUGCCACUGGUUAGUUGAGGUCACUCUUGGCCAACAACGUGGCGUCGGGAUGGUCGCCACGAUCAUGUUCUAUGCCGGCGAGGAGCGCAUGAGGGCCGUCGCCAUGCCUGACGCCCAUUGUAGGCUUCCUUCAGUGAGCACCGAUCUUUGUUGAAGCCGGCGGCGAGCUCACAUGCUUCUGAUAAGUAGCACUUCCUCUGUCCUAAGAGCGUUUUUGACACUGCACUAGUAUCAAAAACGUUUUUAUGGACAUAGGGAGUAGCAAACGUUGUGUGGUCCUUUACGGCGAGCCCAGUGCCCACUCCUAAGCUUGUUGCUCAAGGCCCGUGUUGUUCUCCAUGGCUUCACAACUUUCUGGUAAGUACUCCUUCUGUCCCAAAUAUGUGUCGUUGAUUUAGUAUAAUUUUAGUACAAAAUUGUACUAAGUCAGCGACACUUAUUUUGGGCCGGAUGGAGUAGCAAACUAGCAGCUGCUGCUCAUGUCUUAUUUCUCUUCACAACAGCACACACAAUGCAAUAUUGAGGGGUUAGUUUAACUUGGCUCAGAACACACCAGGCAAUGUGUGGCUGGAGCAAGAUCAAGCCAAAGAAAUCCCACGGUGGUCUCUGGCUAGAUAUUCAACUCCUUGUCUGCUUUAAAGAUUCUUAGGCAUGUGGCAAUGUGACUCGACUCCUUGCGAUGAAUUUAGUUUAAUGUGUUCUUGUUAAAUUUUGUUGGUUCGACUCAGAAAUUCCUGUUGCUGCUUGAAUUAUGCACCUGGAAUCUCCAUAACAAUUCUGCUUUCUGUAUCAUCCGAUGUACCUGGGGACUGGUGGACUCGUGGUGCUCCUCGGCAGCUAUGUCAAAGCUAUAUACCUGGGGAGGCAAAAUGUGGCGGCAAAAUUCAAAGCGAACGCUUUGUAUGGUUUAUUUUCAACAAAGGACUUUUGGCUCAAUAUUAUGCGAGUAACACAAUAAUUUGCUGCAAAUUUGUCCUUUUUUUUCUGAACGACCAGUCUAAAAAAACUUGUGUGCCACUCGAACAAAUUUAGACAUAUUGGGAACAAAAUAAACGUUACUCUGAAAAUAAAUUAAAUAAAUUUGUGCUGCAUUCAAGCGAAUUUCAGUUUGCAAUGGGAACAAUAUUCCAUUGUAUCGUGUAUAAUCUUGAAAGCGGAAGAGUGAGAAAUAAAUGUGGCAAUUCUGGAGUAAUUCUUAGGAGCAGUUGAAAGAUACUCCUGUACAAAACUAGUACUCCCUCCGUUCACUUUUGGAAGUCGUUUCAGACAACUUUGCACGCUGUCUGAAAUGUCUUAAACACCUUAUAAAAGUGAUAAGUGAACAGAGGGAGUAUGAGUUAUAACUUUUAUGCAGAAAACUACCGGUAAUGGCAGCACUUUAACUAUUUUCUCUGGCGACGAGGUUAACCCUCAUUUUUGUAUACUUGGACAAAGACAAAGGAGACUUUUGUCAAUGAGUAAUAGACUAAUAGUAGCACAGAGAGAACAAUAAAUAUAGUGCACUGCUGCAUUACAGCGAUAAAACCAACACCUAGCAGGUUAAAUAUCAUGCCUUGACAAGAGCCAGCCACCUAAUCACAAGUCAUGAACGAAAACACCUAGCACUAGCAGGUUACGAACCAAGUAAAUAUCAUGGAACACAAACUCCUAGCAGGUUGAUUAUCAUGUCACCACAAUAUUCAUCAUGAUACUACUUAGGUUCGCAAAACCAGCAGGUCCGCCAUCAGCCAAGAUCAUCUAUGAACCGUAUUUCUAGCAGCGGUCGAUGACAACAUGCCACAGCGUGCUCUUGAUGACUUUGAAGGUGCAGACGUCUCCUGCCUUGAGCUCGUUCUCCUUACAGAAGGCCUUCCAGCCUCUCGUAAGACAAUUAUAAGACCUGUUGGUGCCUGGAUGGUAGUUGACACCUUCCACCUCCCAAGACUUGUUCCUCUCCACGGACUUGAGCGUGAUCUUGCAACGCUCCAGGAAUCCGAAGCGUGCUGGAAAAUGCUGCAAGCCAUUGCGAUCGCACGGGUUAUUUGUAUCACAGUUCGUGGGUGUAUGAUGACAAA
This 56199-nucleotide long non-coding RNA is filed under the name Triticum aestivum (bread wheat). Its description in RNAcentral is "long non-coding RNA (TAES_LNC008091)". Lineage: Eukaryota; Viridiplantae; Streptophyta; Magnoliopsida; Poales; Poaceae. The record is from RNAcentral.